AAAAAAAAAAGUCAUAUGACCACGUAUGUAAUUGUGUAAGACGACCACAUAAACAAUAUUAUUAACGUGUACACUCAACCAUUAACAAUUUAGACAAUAUUGCAAAAAAAAUUAAAUCAAAUUGAACAUAAAUUACAAAAAUUGAGACCAUGUUGAACACUAAAAAAAGUUAGUCUCUCAUUGAACAAAAUUGACAAAAAUAAGGAUCAAAAGUGGUACAGAUUAGUUAAAUACUUGAACUAAAUUAGUGAAACAUGAUGUACAAAACAAAAAGAAUAGUAAUACCAUAUUCUCUUUAAAUGUGAAAAAAUAUUUUAUAGUCAAAGUAGUGAUUUGAACAAAUCGCACGUUAUAAAAUGCAUGUUAAUAUGAAACUUUUAAUAUCUUUUUUAUAAUUGUUUUAAAAUUAUCUUUAAGAUUAACUCAAUUUUAGAAAAUUGUCUUGUAUGGUAAGAUUUACAAUAACUUAUAUAACAUAAUUUAACUUUAUUUAUAUUAUAUGUGAGACUUUCAACGCACUUUCAAACACUAAAACAUAUAUAUCUCGAGUAUUAGACUAUUCACUAAUAAGUAAUCUCAAAAUAAUGUAAUAAUGGAUAGAACAAUAAACUCAAGAAACAAAAAAUUUUAUUUCAAUGUAUUUUGACUUAUAAUUCUGAUACCAUUUCAAACAAUGAACUUUAUAUUUAAUUUAAUAUUACAAAUAUUAUUUAUAAAAUAAUAUUUUAACUCACUUAAAUAUUUUAAAUUAAUUUAACCUAUCUUCCAUAUGAAUUUUGUAACAACUUUUUGUACAUAAGCAUUAGUAAGUUGGAAAGUAAAAAGAUAUAUAUAAUUUCUUAAAAAACAAAAAACUUUGACAAUAUUUUAAGAAUCAACUAAAACGGUCAAGAUCUUGGUUAGCAUAGAUAAUUGAUAUUCUUUUAAAUAAUACUGAACAAAAUAAUUAUAAAAAUAAUCUUUUAAAUAUUAGAAAACAUGUUAAAUAGUUUAUCAGUUUUGAAAAAUACUUUAAAUUAGUAUACCGAUGUUAAUAAAAUGUGCCAAAAAUAGAAACUAAACGACGAUAUAAAAUGAAUGUAUCUAUAUAUUUUGUUACCGUGGGAAGAGAAAAAUAAUCUCAGGUAUAUUCUAUUCAAUGGUUUAUUCCUUAAAUAAAUGAGUUAUUUUUCACCGCAUUAUUAUACUAGUAAUGGCAGUGAUUUAGAAAUAACACGUGUUUCAAUAAGGACGAUAUAUUUUAUUAAAGAUAUAAAAUAAUCAAAAAUAUUUUAUUAAAGAAAUUGAUAAAUAGAAGAUAAAAUAAUUAAAUAAUGAUUAAGAUUAUCUGUUUAAACAUAUUUAACAACUAAUCAUCGGUAAGUUUGUUUAUAUUUUAUUUUAUUUUUAUAUUUUAUUGAGUUUAUAUCAGUUCAAGAUUCAUGAACAAAUUAUAAAUAGACAAUCAGGAUCACAUAAGCCAGUAUUUUUCAAUCAUACUCCAUUCACAUUCUACUCACACUCAAUUGUAAUACAAAACAGCUUCUAACUUGAGCAUUGCCUGAUUAAAAAGUCCACCAAACGACCCAAAUUAAAGAUAAUCGAGCGGUUAAAGGAAGACAAGUGACUCAAGUUAUCGAGGAUAACUCAGAAAAUAUUAAUAUCUUGGUCUCAUACAAUAUCUACCAAAACAAAAACUAUAUUUGAUUUUAUUGUGUAUAUCAACAAAUUUAAAAUUAUUAUAAAGUAAUUUUAGUGUAUAUAAAAAAAAAAAACUGUUAAAAAUUGACAAACACCGGUAGAAGAAAAAGACAUUUAAAAAACGUAGAAGAUAGAGGCAGAGAGAAAGCAGAGAAGGACAAAAUGAAGAAAAAAUAUUCAAAAGAAAAACAACAAAGACGACAAAAGAAAGCAUUAAGAAUCCAGGGAAAGGAAGGUCGUCAAUCCAAGUCAACUACAACCUAAGCUGGCAACCAACGGAUCCUCAAACUUUUCUCAAAGAUCAGACGGCUAAAACAAUGCCUUUGACCUGAUUUUAAAGCCCCAAUGUCGCUGAGAUCAAUGAUAACCCACCGGUGGGACCCAGGGGCCAUAAAAGUCAAUAUCUCCCUAUCUCUCCACUACUCACUUCCUUCAGAUGCUUUUUCUCAUUGAAAAAAGAAAAUAAAAAAAGAAAAGAAAAAAAAAGUUUUUUCUUUUUUCUUUUCUGAGUCUGCAGAGACCAAAAUACCCUGUUUCAGCGUUUGGAUCUUACAUACAUGCAUACAUAUUUUAGUACAUUAAACAGAGACAAGUAAAGCAAAGCAAUGUCACCCAAAUUUUGACGGAAACAGGGACGAGACGAGUAGGGUUAGCUAGCUAGCGUGACAGUACAGUGACCUAGUGGACCAAACAGGCCACUAUCUUUUUUUUUUUUUUUUAUAUAUAUAUAUAUAUAUAUUAUAUUUAAUAUUUAAAUUUUGUUUUGGCAUGACUUGACCAGGGUACCCUAUGAGCCUCUUUAAUUUUCUUUUGAUCUUGAACAGCUCCUUCCAAACCCUUUCUCUCUCUUUGAUGCAACUAUGCCUGUGGAGCUUAUGAUGGGUUAUAGGAACGACAGUUUCGCCGAAGAGAAUGCUGUUCGAGAAGCCGCGUCAGGGCUAGAGAGCGUGGAGAAGCUCAUCAGGUUGCUGUCACACGCUCAGCUGCAACAACACCAACUUCAACAACAAUCGCACGCGACCAAUUCAAAGUCUUCCAUGGAAAUUGAAUCCGAUUACGGAGCUGUCGCUGACGUGGCGGUUUCCAAGUUCAAGAAGGUUAUUUCGCUUCUGGGCCGAACCAGAACCGGUCACGCGCGCUUCAGAAGAGCCCCUGUGCCUCCACCUCCUCCUUCCGAACCUAGAUUCUACCGCGCAACGCCGCUGCAGCAGAUCCCGCCGCCCCCCGAACACCCUUUCAUCCCAAAAAAUGCUCCGAUUGAGACCAAGGACUCUUCCAAGACCAUCAACUUCUCUUAUUCUAAUUCCUUCGUCUCCUCCCUCACCGGCGACACCGACACCAAACAGCCCUCUUCCUCGUCGCCUGCGGCCGCGACGCCUUUUCAGAUCACGAAUCUCUCUCAGGUCUCCUCCGCCGGAAAGCCUCCUAUUUCUUCGUCUUCGUUGAAGAGGAAGUGCAGCUCUGAUAAUUUGGGUUCUGCCAAGUGUGGCAGUUCCUCCAGCCGAUGCCAUUGCUCAAAGAAGAGGUAGAUAUAUGUCACGCUCUGUCUUUAUUUUUAUCCUAAAAAAUCGUUUGAAAAAAUAAACUGUUUCCGUGAUGUCUGGUUCUGAUGCAUUAUUUUUUGGAUUGGUGUGAUGCAGCAGAAAAAUGAGGUUGAAGAGGGUGGUGAGGGUACCCGCAAUAAGUUUGAAGAUGGCUGAUAUUCCACCGGAUGAUUAUUCUUGGAGGAAAUACGGACAGAAACCGAUUAAAGGAUCUCCUCAUCCAAGGUGCAUAAAACAACAUUACAUCGUGUUCUGAUUUACAUUAUCCACCCCUUCGAUUUCAAAUUUCAAAAUGAACCCUUGUUUUGUUUCCAUUUAGAAAGAUCUUAUCAUGGCUUGGUUUCUGUAAUUUGCAUGUUUUAUUGUGGAGUUAAUUUUGCAUAGGUGAAGUAAGGUUUAUAUUUGUCUUGAAUUAUUGAUUGCAGGGGCUAUUACAAGUGCAGCAGUGUUAGAGGGUGUCCAGCGCGCAAGCAUGUAGAGAGGGCUCUGGAUGACCCUUCUAUGUUGGUAGUAACCUAUGAAGGUGAACACAAUCACACACUCUCUGCAGUCGAAGCUACCACUAAUCUUAUCCUAGAAUCUUCUUAGCUGAUUAAUUAAUCACCGAUUUCCCAUCACAGAGUAUAUUCUGAUCAUGCCAUUCAUGGCUUGUACACUUGAAAAUUUUACUCUCGAAGGAGAUUAAUUAAUUGAUGGGUGGGUGUAUUCCUUCCAUGUUCACAUGUUCUAUACACUUGUUUUCCUUUUCCUUUUCCUUUUCCUUUUCUGCUCUCUUCAAAACUUGGACCGACCGACCGACACUGAAUCCAUCCAUGGCCACUGUUUACAUAUUUUUGUUUUAAAAAAGGGUGAAGAUGGCGUAUUUGGUAACGGGUUUAAUUUAAUCCGAUUCAACUCGAAAGAGAAAAAAGAAGAAAGGAGGAAGUGGGGUUGGUAUUAUUCCUUUUCCUUUUCCUUUUCCUUUUCGUUUCUGGUUGAUUGCUUUACAUGUGGUUGUGAUCUUGGAUGCUCAUGGAUGAAAAAGACGGAGUCAAAGAAAGGAUGGGAUGAGGAGGGACAUGUGCUGUUAAUUGCUAAAGAAGGUUGACUAAAAGAACAGAGUGGUUGGCACUUGGCAAUUGCCAGUUAGAACGGCAAAUUAUAGUGAAUGGAACUGGGAAGAAAGAGAGUUUCAAUACAAUUUUUGUUUGAACCCUUUGGCUUCUACCAUAAAGUCUUGUUGCAACGUUAGUAGUACAUUCGUUUAACGUCUUUAAUGUCUGUUUGGUUUAAUGUUUAAAACAUUAAAUUCAUGUUUACCUGUUCUGUUUUUGGUCUCACGUUCUAAGCGAGUUUUAUAGAAUUAAUUGAUAUUCUGAAUGGAAAAGCUACGCCAAAGUCAAAAUGGGUGGGUGUGGAAUUCAUUCAGUUCAUAAGUUCAUACACUGAAGGCUCCUACCUUGUUUUAAAUUUCUGUAGUUGUUUGCUUUUCCAUUGCUUUUUCUUCAACGUACAAGCCCUCUUUUGCUUCUUCGUCCAUUUCGUUUCACCAUUUUCUUUCUAUUGUUUUUUACCAAAUUAUUUUAAAUGCUAAAUAAUAAAAGUUUAUUAUAUAAAUUCAAAUUUGUUGAUUAAUUUUGUAAAUAUUUUUAGAAUGUUUUUUACCAAUUAAAUAAAUUUGAAUCAUUUGUAGGAAUCACUGUUUUUGGAUAUGUAAAAAUAAAAAUACUGCAUCAAAUGUAAUUUUUUUAAUACUCUAUAUCUGGCGUAUCAUAACAUGUUUCAUCCGUCUCAGGAACUAAGUGGGAGUAAGGUCACUUCUUGCUACGCUUUUUAUUUUAUUUUAUUUUAUUAUUAAACAUUGGAAUUUUAUUAAAUUCUUAUGUUUAGAGUUUUCAUCAUGGAUUUUUUUUCUUUGUUUAGUUCUCUUAAAAAUUAAAAUGAUUUAUUAUUGUUGUUAGUCUAUUUUAUCAAUUUAGUUAUUCUAAUUUUAAUAGUAAAAUUUAGUUUCAAAUUAAAUGUAGGUUAAAAUACAAUAUAUUUAGAUUCUUUGGCUAACUUUUAUAGAAUAAGAGGCUUCAUUUCUAUUUUUUUUUUCUCUUAUUUUAACAUGUCAGCAUUUCAUAAUUAUUAUUAAUUAACAUAAAAAAUUAGGUUGUUCAACUACUACGUUUCAAUCGGUCACACUACUACUAGGUCAAUUUUUUUUCUUUUGUAUGUGACAUUAUGUGAUUCUAACCAUGUAACGCAUGGAUUAAUUGGAAUCGUUUUAUUUCAGUUUAAUAAGUGAUUUUAAUUAAUGUUUUUAACAUAAUUGCGUUAAGAAUAUAAAAAUUAUAAUUUCUUAAAAAAUAAAGCGAGUAAAUAUUAAGUAGCAUGUUUUAUGAAAAUUAUAUAUAAAAUUACUUUACAUUGGUCAUAAAUACUAUCUGGCUAGACAUUAUUAAACUUGGGAAUGUAGAGAUUAGUUAUUCCAACAAUUGCAUCAUUAUAAAAGAUUUAGAAAAAUAAUAAAAUUCACCUUUUACAAGAGCAUAUACUAAUUUCUUGAAUUAGUUAAUCUAAAUACCAUAUAAAAGAUCACUAUAAAACUUAGAAAAUUAAUAAUAAAAAUCUCCAAUAUGACAAAAUUAUCAGGGGAAAAAAUAGAGACUCUGCAAGUUGCGAAAUUAAGAGUAAAUACAUUUUAAAUUAUUUCAAGUAACAAAUUUACAUUUAAAAUAAAGUAGAAAAGAUAAUGUGUCUUCAAAGAUUUCCUAGCUGUCACAAUUUUCCACUCUUUAGUUAAAAAAAAAAAUAAUGUUAAAAAACUUAACUAAAUAUAAAAAUCUUUAAAAUAACAAAAAAAAAAUAGCAAAAUAAAUAAAAAGGUUUAAUCUUUGUUCUUUACGUUCAAUUCUUCGUCCUAUCAUAUUGAAAAGUGUUAAGAUAUCUGUGUUCCUUGAAGCAUGAAUUAUGUUUUUAGAAUCUAUACAGUAAUAUCAACAAAUCCUCAGUGACAUUUAGAAGUAGGAAUUCUUUGAAGCAGUUACAAGAAAAAGAAAGAAAGAAUUAUCUUUUACAAGCUCCAGCGAAGAAGUAAACAAUGGAACUAAAACGAUCAUAAAUAUCCACAUGGCUGACUCUGAUAUGAUAUACUUCUGCACAAAGCUUAUUGUAACGUGGAAGAUUACAGCAACUAAGAGGAAGAAGAAGAUCCUGAUGAGUGGUUAUGAUCCUUACAAUACUUCACGCUACUCUCCUCCAUUUUUUCCAGAAUAUAGUGUCCCAAAGAGUGCGUUGUCUCCACCAAAUUUUCCUUACACAGAAACUCGUUCCCGCAGAUCCUUUCCACUUUCCCUGAGAAGUCAUGCACAAACACAUGCGUCUUCGGGUUCCCACUCUUCUUGCUCCGGGCAAGCACGCCGGCGGUGAAGAUCGGAGACAUUCUUCCGGGGGCGUCGGGCCAGUCACCUCUUGGUCCGUCCACCAAUAUCACAUCCCAAUCCACUUCAUAAACGUGGUUGGGAAGAUCGUUGAGUCCUAACUUGCACUCAGAAAACAGAAGAUUCUGCACCGGCCUGCACUCGUUUCCGGACUGUUCUUUAGCGGAAGCUAUCAGCUCCUUCAUCUCGCUCCUUCUGGUGGUGUAUUGCACGUCGUAGGCAUCGAUUUCGGGGUGCUUUUCUUCGAAGUAGGCGGCGUAGUACCGGUUUUCAUCGAUGAAAACGGUUCUUCCGUUGUGGUUGAGGGCUUUCCAGAGGAGGGUCUCCGGGGUGAGGCCAAAGACGAGGAAGUUGCAUGGUGAGGAGCACUUUCGGAGGACGUCGGAGAUGGUUUUGAGAUCGGAGUGGGACAUGUGGUAGGUGUCAUUGGAUUUGGAGGCAUAGUGGAGGAGGGUGUUGAUGACGGAGGAAGGCAAAGGGGUGUUGGUGAAAGUAGAUAAAGGGGUGGAAGAGAUGGUGGUGGUGAUGGAUGAGGUUGUGUCUCUGGUGUAAAUGAGGGUGGCGAGGAAGGCGAGGGUGAAGAAGGAUAUGAAGGCCAGAAGCCAUAGGCGGUUGGAGCUUCCUUGUUUCUGGAUAUAUGGGUGGAGAAGAAUGAAUUUUGUGUUGGUGUUAGUGUUCUUCAUGUUGGAAUGAAAAUUUUAGAGAGGAGAAGGUUUGAUUUAAAUUAGAAGAAGGGAAAAUAUUAUUGAGAGUGACCCUACAAUGACCAUAUCCUUGGAUUGAGGUUCUGUUCUAGAAUUGAAAAGAAUGUUAACGUUGUUUAUGUUGUGUUGAAUUUGGUUUUGCUUGAUUUAUGCAGUUGGUAUUCUAGAAUAGUUAAUUCCCAAUAUAUGUGUUGUUUGAGUUGUGAAUGAAGGAAAUAAGGAUGCUGGGGUGGUUGGAUUUAAGGUGAGAGAGAAGGUGUAGCGACCCAAUAUCUAAUUACAAACUGGAAGUCGCUUUUCCUUGGUGAUUUAAGCUUUGGUUUCUAAGUAACCCCUUUGGGAUAAAAGUAGCUACCUUUGAAGGGGACUCAGUACCUGCUGCAAUCGUUUCCUCUCCUUUAUAAACUUCUUCUCAGUAUCAAAUUUCUAAUUUUUAUACAACAACGACAUCAUGGUAAAAUGAACUGCCAGUGUAACAUGUUUGAGUGUCAAUGUGAGAAUCCGAAGAAAAGGAAAAACAAAAAACGUGUACUUCUUUCUUCCAGUAUUCAACUCUGCAACUACUUCUGACUUGAUACGACUAUUACCUCAGUUGCCGAGACUGCAAGAUUACAUGUAAACAUAAAAGGAAUCAACGGUCAAAGACGACUGGUUUUCUAGACACUGCUUUAUUUAUAAUAUAAGGGUUAAAACCAUUCAUGUGUUCUCAUUUUUCGUAACUUAUUCUGGUCUCCUUUUUUUAAAUUUUUCCAAUUGAAUUUUUAUGAGUGUUAAUUUCUAAUAAAUUAAUCACUGUCGUUAAAAAUUAUUAACAGUGUUAAAAUAUUGUGUAGAGAUGGGUAGAUGACGUGGUUAAAAUUCUCCUUUUGAAGUGUUAAAAUUAUGCAGAGGUGUUCAAAUUUUUCACAUUCUCUUUUGGACAAUUUUAACACCUCAAAAGGAGAAUUUUAACCACAUCAUCUACUCACCUUUGCACAAUUUUAAUUUUAACGAUUUUUAACGGCAAGGACUAAUCUGAAAAAAAUGGCAUUUUUUUUGUGCACCUUUAUAAUUUCUUUAUGCAACCUAAAUUUGAAAAAUACCAGUUGCUAUAUUAUUGUUUGUUCUGGAUGGUUUGAAACUUUUGAAACUUUCCUCAUCCUAUUCAGACUCACAAAUAAAACAUGAUUAUUUGAUUAUAUGAUUUAUAUUUAUCCUGUAUCUGUUGAAAAACUCAACAUAUAUUAGAAUUGAAAGUGAAGUUGUAGUUAGGAUAAACAUUCAUAUGCUAGACACAGAGCACCUUAUGUUUUACCUUUAUUAUAAAAAUUUAAAUAUUUUAAUUCUGUUAAUAAUGGAAAGAGUUUCAAAUUGCUCCAUUUAAUUUUGAAUUGAUUAAUCUGUAUUAAGAAAAUAUGUCAUGGUUUACUGACACAGUGAUAUUAAUACAUUUUUUAAAUUAUUCAAUCCAUAAUUAGUUUUUAAAGAUAUUUUAGUUCUUUCUCACCUUCUAAUAAUGGCUGCAAAUGGAGAUGAAAGGAUAUUCUGAAAUUUGGGUAAUUUCUUCUCGUACUUCCAUAAUUUUAACUUGUACUUUUGAAUUGUGUAAUUUCAAAUGUAAAUUUAUAUUUUGAAAUGUAUAAUUAAAAGAUAUUUUUAAUUUUUAUAUUGUAAAAUAUAUAAUUAGUAAUAUAAUUUUUUUAAUCUUGGAACGUGAAAUCUAAAAUAUAAAAAAAUAUAUUUCAAAUUUUACAAUUUAAAAUAUAUUUGUAUUUUAAAUUAAAUUAUUCUAAUAAAUCUUGUUUUCUAUUUUAAAAUCUACAAUUUAAAAUAUAACUUUGUGCUUUGUGCAUUUUACAGUAGCUAAAUUUUACUUGUAAGUUAAAAUAAUAGAAAUGCAAUAAGAAAUUAUCUUUGAAAACUAACUUUACAAUAAGAAGUUAAAAUAAUAUAUUUUCAUGAUCAAUUUUAAUUUUGCCUUGAAGUUACUAUUCAUAAAUUGUUCUUAACUAUUAACUUUUCAUCUAAAAAGGUAGAAGCAGGUAGUCAUUUCUAAUAAAAAUUUGAACAAUUUUUUUAUAAUAGUCUAUGGUGAUUGAUAGUUUCAAAUAUUCGAAUGAAUAAAAUAGUGAUACAUAAAUUAUUAUUAAAAAAUUGUUAAAAAAAUAUUAAAAUAUCGUAAUACUAAAAACAUACUUCACCAUCAAUUAUGUAAGUGUCUUUAUAAAUUUGUUCUUACCUUCAAUAUAAUUUAAAAUUAACUUUAUAUAUCCAUGUCAUUAAAUUAUUUACAACAUUUAGGGUGUGUUCUUAUUAAUGGAUUUGAGGGAGAUGAUUUGGGGGAGAUAAUUUGAGUAGAUUUGAGUGGAUUUGAGGGUAAUUUUGUUGUUGUUUUUUUGAGUAGAUUUGUGGGUAAUUGAGAGUGGAUUUGAGGAUGAAGUUUGUGAGAAUUAGUGUAGGAUUCGAUUGAUGUGAUAGAAUUAAAAAAUUUGUUUAAUUGAUAGAAAUUGAAGAUUACCAAAAUACCCCUAGUUACUAAAUUAUUAUUUUUUAUAUUUUAAAAUUAAUUUUAAUAAUUAUUUUACAUUUUAAAAAUUAAUUAUUAUUUUUACAAUUUUUAAAAUUAAUUUUAAUAAUUAUUACACUGUUUGACAUUUGCAUGCAAAAGACCACUUCUCUUCUAAUUUUACAAAACCACUUAUUUCUUUUAUCCUUCUUUUAUUACUUAUAAACCAUCCAGACACCUCCUCUAUUCUUUUUAGGGUGAAUAACUAAAUUGAACAAUACAGAGAGGAAGAGUAUUGAUUAUUUACUAUAUACCAUUAAAGCCACAAGCUUCAUAAAAAGAAUGCACAUUGAGAUCGCUACAGGGGCAUUUAAGAUAAUUUGGAUUCCAUCCCUCCAAAUCUCACCCAAUCCUUGGGUGAGUGAACAGUGCAGAUAUCUCCUAUUUCACUACAAAUCCAUCGUCGUGAAUAGUUGUAUUUCUUCUCAAGCGAACACGAAAGAUAAUUCAUUUCUCGCUCACAAAUAUGUGUGAAUAGUUAUUUCUUCUCAAACCAACACAGGCUUACUUUUAGGAUUAAUAGUAGGAAUAAUUUAUUCUAACUAUUCUAUUAGAAAAUUGUUAUUUUCAUUAUUACAAAUACUCGUAAUAAAAUGCAUUUCAAUUGUCAUGAUUUAUCUUUUAUUCUAUCAAUUAAUAAAUUGAUGAUCAUUAAUUUAGAAGAUAGUUAAAUUCUCACUAUAUUAUAAAAGCAAGUACAAUCAUAAAUAGGAUUUAGGGUUUAGCAAAGCUAGGAAAAGUCCAACUUUUAUUUUUUUUAGUUUUGUAUUUUUAUAAUACACAUAUACAUAUAUUAAAAGUAUAUUUAACUAUAUCAUUUUUUUAAUUUUUUAAUUAACUAAGUAAUGUUUUUAUUAUAUUUAUAUAUCUAAAUAUUUUAUUUUAAUUAAUGAUUAAAAUCUUAUUUAUAAAUUUUAAUGAUUUAAAUUAUAAUACUAUUACGUCUACACAUUUUUAAAUAACAUAAAACAUAAAAGUUAAUCUUUUUUUUAUUUUAAAAAAUACAAGCUGAUGAAUUCAAAAAUUCAGUUUAACCCGUCAAAUUUUGAUGAACCAGUAACAUUUUAACACAUCAAUAAAUACGUUAAAAAUUAUUUUUUAAUCAAUAGUUUAACAGAACCUGGUUUUAUUUAUUUAUUUUUUUUGUGUGUGUUCACAAAUAUACUCUUGAAAUAAUAAUUUUUUAAAAUUAAAAUAAUCACUUUACCAAUUUUAUUCCAUAAAUGACCAUUCAUUUAAAUUUAAUAGUUUUUUUUACUAUUUUUUAAAAUUGAAAUAAUCUUUAAACCAUAAUCAAAAUGUUAAUAAAUAAAAACUACAUAAAUAAAAAUGAUUUAUAUUUAUUUUUAUAAUUAUAAUGAUAAUAAUUUUAUGAUCAUAAAAGUUAAGAGAUAUACACGGAAAACAUAUAUUUACUAAUAUACUUAAAAUAAAUCAAAAUAUAACAAACAUGAAAAUGUAUAAAUAAAUAAAUUCGUAGUUUAAAUAAAUCUAAACAAUUUGUUUUCAAUAUAAUAGUGAAAACACGAACAUUCGUAAGGUAAGUUACUUUACUUUUUUAUAAAAAAACAAUUUUAUUUAUUUUAUAAAUAAUUUUUAUUUAUUUAUAGAUUAUUUUUAUUUAUUUUAUUUAAAAAAUAAUUAAAUUUUAAAAAGAUAGUUUAAUUUUAAAAAAUCAAUUAAAGUUAAAUAAAAUGAUAACUUUAAAUAUAACGUUAAGAAAAAAGUGAAUAAAAAUAAAUCCCCUUUAUAUUAUUUAUAUUUAUAUAUAGAUAUAGAUAACAGUGUUGUAAUUAUCAAAACCCUCGUUUAAACAUGUGACAUCAGAAUAUGAUUAAUGUAAAUAUGGUAUGAUGCUCAGUGGGUUUUUGUAAAAGUGACACACUCUUCUCACAUGCCAAUGCUAAAGUUAUUAUAAUCACAUGCACAUAACGGAAUUUAAUGGAAUUAAACUCAAUCAUAAAUACCAUUAAACUUAUAUUUUCAAUGUUAUGUUACACUUCUUUAUCAAAAUCCCACCUUCAUCAAUUAUUUUCAAUGGUAUAUUUUCAAUGUCAUUUUUUUAAUUUUUUUUUGUAUUAUUUAACAUGCAUGUUAUUUUAAUCAGGGAUAAUAAGGGAUGGAUUCACACAAAAAAUAAUUGGCAUGUGGCAUUAAUUUGUUUCGAUAUUGAUUCAAUUCGGGUGAGUUUGGUUCGGUUAUGUUUAAUUAAUUCGAUUAAGCUUAAAUCAGUUUGAUUUGGUUCGAUUUGGUUUGGUUUGAUUCCCUUUACAGUAUAAUUGUCAUGUGACACUAAUUUACUUAUAAAAUAUCAAUAUUUUUUGAAUUAAUAAAAUUAUAAAUUAUAUCUAUACGUGGUUUAUAUAUAUAUAUAUAUAUAUAUAUAUAUAUAUAUAUAUAUAUAUAUAUAUAUAUAUAUAUAUAUAUAUAUAUANNNNNNNNNNNNNNNNNNNNNNNNNNNNNNNNNNNNNNNNNNNNNNNNNNNNNNNNNNNNNNNNNNNNNNNNNNNNNNNNNNNNNNNNNNNNNNNNNNNNNNNNNNNNNNNNNNNNNNNNNNNNNNNNNNNNNNNNNNNNNNNNNNNNNNNNNNNNNNNNNNNNNNNNNNNNNNNNNNNNNNNNNNNNNNNNNNNNNNNNNNNNNNNNNNNNNNNNNNNNNNNNNNNNNNNNNNNNNNNNNNNNNNNNNNNNNNNNNNNNNNNNNNNNNNNNNNNNNNNNNNNNNNNNNNNNNNNNNNNNNNNNNNNNNNNNNNNNNNNNNNNNNNNNNNNNNNNNNNNNNNNNNNNNNNNNNNNNNNNNNNNNNNNNNNNNNNNNNNNNNNNNNNNNNNNNNNNNNNNNNNNNNNNNNNNNNNNNNNNNNNNNNNNNNNNNNNNNNNNNNNNNNNNNNNNNNNNNNNNNNNNNNNNNNNNNNNNNNNNNNNNNNNNNNNNNNNNNNNNNNNNNNNNNNNNNNNNNNNNNNNNNNNNNNNNNNNNNNNNNNNNNNNNNNNNNNNNNNNNNNNNNNNNNNNNNNNNNNNNNNNNNNNNNNNNNNNNNNNNNNNNNNNNNNNNNNNNNNNNNNNNNNNNNNNNNNNNNNNNNNNNNNNNNNNNNNNNNNNNNNNNNNNNNNNNNNNNNNNNNNNNNNNNNNNNNNNNNNNNNNNNNNNNNNNNNNNNNNNNNNNNNNNNNNNNNNNNNNNNNNNNNNNNNNNNNNNNNNNNNNNNNNNNNNNNNNNNNNNNNNNNNNNNNNNNNNNNNNNNNNNNNNNNNNNNNNNNNNNNNNNNNNNNNNNNNNNNNNNNNNNNNNNNNNNNNNNNNNNNNNNNNNNNNNNNNNNNNNNNNNNNNNNNNNNNNNNNNNNNNNNNNNNNNNNNNNNNNNNNNNNNNNNNNNNNNNNNNNNNNNNNNNNNNNNNNNNNNNNNNNNNNNNNNNNNNNNNNNNNNNNNNNNNNNNNNNNNNNNNNNNNNNNNNNNNNNNNNNNNNNNNNNNNNNNNNNNNNNNNNNNNNNNNNNNNNNNNNNNNNNNNNNNNNNNNNNNNNNNNNNNNNNNNNNNNNNNNNNNNNNNNNNNNNNNNNNNNNNNNNNNNNNNNNNNNNNNNNNNNNNNNNNNNNNNNNNNNNNNNNNNNNNNNNNNNNNNNNNNNNNNNNNNNNNNNNNNNNNNNNNNNNNNNNNNNNNNNNNNNNNNNNNNNNNNNNNNNNNNNNNNNNNNNNNNNNNNNNNNNNNNNNNNNNNNNNNNNNNNNNNNNNNNNNNNNNNNNNNNNNNNNNNNNNNNNNNNNNNNNNNNNNNNNNNNNNNNNNNNNNNNNNNNNNNNNNNNNNNNNNNNNNNNNNNNNNNNNNNNNNNNNNNNNNNNNNNNNNNNNNNNNNNNNNNNNNNNNNNNNNNNNNNNNNNNNNNNNNNNNNNNNNNNNNNNNNNNNNNNNNNNNNNNNNNNNNNNNNNNNNNNNNNNNNNNNNNNNNNNNNNNNNNNNNNNNNNNNNNNNNNNNNNNNNNNNNNNNNNNNNNNNNNNNNNNNNNNNNNNNNNNNNNNNNNNNNNNNNNNNNNNNNNNNNNNNNNNNNNNNNNNNNNNNNNNNNNNNNNNNNNNNNNNNNNNNNNNNNNNNNNNNNNNNNNNNNNNNNNNNNNNNNNNNNNNNNNNNNNNNNNNNNNNNNNNNNNNNNNNNNNNNNNNNNNNNNNNNNNNNNNNNNNNNNNNNNNNNNNNNNNNNNNNNNNNNNNNNNNNNNNNNNNNNNNNNNNNNNNNNNNNNNNNNNNNNNNNNNNNNNNNNNNNNNNNNNNNNNNNNNNNNNNNNNNNNNNNNNNNNNNNNNNNNNNNNNNNNNNNNNNNNNNNNNNNNNNNNNNNNNNNNNNNNNNNNNNNNNNNNNNNNNNNNNNNNNNNNNNNNNNNNNNNNNNNNNNNNNNNNNNNNNNNNNNNNNNNNNNNNNNNNNNNNNNNNNNNNNNNNNNNNNNNNNNNNNNNNNNNNNNNNNNNNNNNNNNNNNNNNNNNNNNNNNNNUUUUUUUUUUUUUUUUGAAAAAAUUUAAAUUGUAUGAAAAAACGAAGCAAAGGAAAGGUCACGUGAUAGCGUGUGGGGGCAUAAUAGCGUGAUUCUCACGCGUGAUAAGGAAGAGAGUUUUUGAAUCCCUGACGAAGAGAGAAUAUAAAGGGAGAGUUUUAGAUGAAUUCAAGAGCGUUGGUUUUAUUGUAGAGAGAAGGAAGCGGUGCAGAAAACAGUGUUUGUUGAGUUGGUGUUGUAUCUGUAGCGGAGGCAACUGUUGCUGCAGAGAGAGAGAGGGUUUGGUAAAAUCAAUUUGUUUAUACUAUUUAUUCAUCCAACAAACCAAAGAUAUAUAAAGCCAGGAAAGUCACCUUUUUCAUUCUUGUCUUUCUACUCUGCUACUUCAGAUUUUAGGAGCGGAGAAUCGACACACCGAAACAUGUCUGGUAUCGCCCGUGGACGUCUUGCUGAGGAGCGAAAAUCAUGGCGGAAGAACCAUCCACAUGUUCGUAUCGUAAAACUUUUCCCUAAUUUUUUUCUCUUGUAUUUCUCUUCAAUUUUGUAUUCCACUUUCGUUACAAUCUAUGUUUGUUUCUUUUAAUUUAGGGUUUCGUUGCCAAACCGGAGACCCUCCCUGAUGGCACUGUCAAUUUGAUGGUCUGGCAUUGCACUAUUCCUGGCAAGACUGGGGUGCGUUAUUUUCUUUUUUUAUUGUAUCCCCUUCUCCAUGCACUUUCUCUGCUUUUAUCUUCAAUGAUAGCAUGAACUAUCUUUGGCUUUUAUCAAUUUUGUGCCAUGUGCUCGUUUCCUAGAGGUUUAGGGAUUGGAAGUAAACUAUAGGUCUUGAUCUUUCCCAUCCAUGAAUUUUUUAUCGAUGGAGCACGGUUAAUAAUUUUCAGGUUUAUACGGAUUCAGUUUGCUUAACAUGCUAGUAAUUGUGUGCCCUCUAGGACUUUUGUGCUUUAGAGCCUUGCAUGUGACGACAGACGCUUUUCUUAUCAGUUUAAUGGAAUUGUUGGUGGUAUGGACAGCAGAAAUGUGAGUUCGUGCGGCGCGUAGUUUGACGAUGUUAAAGAUCUUUGGAACUCUUCUAGUUGUGUGAUGCUUCAGGCUUAAACCUUAGGCAUAAAUUUGAUAGUAAAGGCACAUGAUACGAUAAUCCGUAGUUUUAGUUGGCAUGGUAUUUCUAGCAUAUUUGUCAUGAUAAGGAUUGAACAUCUCAAACGUGUGAUUAGGGUAGAACCUGACAGCCCAUAAACUUGACUGGGAUAGACUUCUAAAGACUUUGAUAUCGUCUUAAAAAACUGAAAUUUAAGUCUUAACUUCACAAUAUACUAUGAUGUGGCCUUACUUCUAGUCUAUACGAGAUCUUUAGUAUACUCCUUUAUGCUGAGAAUUGACAAUCUCAACUGAUGGACUAGAUAUUUGGAAGUGGUCCGAUAAUGAUCCCCUAUUGCGGGUGAUACAUUUUAAGAAAGUGUACUUUUAAGUCUAGCUCAACCUAGCCAAGCCGACUUGAUAAAGUGAUGCUAUAUUAUAAUCUGACCAUAUUUAUAAUCAAUACGAGAUCUCCAACACGCUUCUUUUGGUUUUUCUUUGUGUAAUGCACCACUUAUAAUGUAAUGAACUAAGCAACAAUGAUAACUCAAAUAACUAUAUAAACUAUUUGUAUAACAAUCACGUGGAGCCUGGUCUCCGGCUUCAGAAAGAGCAUCAAUGAGGGCUUUGAUGCGAAAUAUUUAUUCUUCAACAGUGCUAUUUUCUAGAAAUGGAUGAUGAAGUUCAGAUCUGAGUUGUCUUGCUGUGGUUCAAGUUUUAUGAUGGGAAUACAAGUGUAUUUUGUGCCUCACUUUAUAGGAAUGUGUUGAUCCAAGAACCCCGGGCAAGCAUAGAAUUCAUUAAGGAUGAUUGAAGCUGCUCUAGAAGCAAUUAGUCGUGCUUUUCCAAACCUAGAUAUGCUGGAUUGACGUGAUUUUGAUUAAAAUUACUUUUAGAAACAAAAAACUCAGGAAUAUAAAGAGAAACAACAAACUGAUGAAGGCUAUGUGCUCUGAUAACAGUUUCAAUUUUCUGUAUAGAUCACCACCGGAAUUGAAGAAGAAACAUCACCAUCAAUAUUUCUAGUAAAAGCCAUGAUAAAGGGUCAACGUGCUCUGUUACCAUGAUAUUUGCACUGAUAAACUGAUUUUAUUAGUUAUGGUCAAGAAUACAGACAGGAUAGUGAAACUCUGUUUACAGAAAACUACUUACAUAUAUAGAUGUGUGUGUGUGUAAAUAUAUAUAUAUAUAUAUAUAUAUAUAUAUAUAUAUAUAUAUAUAUAUAUAUAUAUAUAUAUAUAUAUAUAUAGAUAAAGAACAUAUUUAGAGGAUAAGUUAGUCAUAUCUGUUCAACUAAAACAUUUCUCUAACCACAUAGGAAAAAAACUAUAGUAACUGUCUCAAACAGUUACACUAAACCAGAACAAAGACAGACAGCUGUAAGAAGAUAAGCAACCAGUAACAUUGUCUAACAGAAGAUACACUCACAAUAUUAAACUAAAUAGUAAUAGUACUAAAAACUAAAUAGCUCAUGACAUAAUAUUGAAUUAAUAUAGUAAACUAAAAUAGUAAAUGAAAGUUUUCUGAAUACUGACUCUCCCACUAUGUUGAUUGUGUGGUCUGCUUCUCUGUAUUGCUAUCCAAGAUUUAAAACACCGUAAGGGUCUUAAGUCCUGUACAUGGGUAUUUAGCUAUAUAUUGGUUAAUAGUCAACAUAUUAUGCUUGAAAAAGAUUAACAGCAUUUUCCCUGAGAUGAUUUGUGUGCUGUUUUUCCAUUAUUUGGGCUAUUAAAUGGGAAAUACGAUUUUAUGGCUCUUGUAUCUGCUUAUUGUCUUGACUUUUAUGUGCUUGAUUGUUCACAGUGGCAUUUUGUGCCUUCUAGGAUGUCCUGGUUUUUAUAUUUUGGCAUGUGAUUGGAGGAAUUUUCAACUUAUAACUUAUUACCAAAAUAUAGAUAGCAAGAUAGAAAACAAGAAGUAGGAUAGUGAAGUGUUUUAGAUUAAGUGUCAUGGAUUUUAGUACGCAUUGAUUUUGAAAUCUAGUAAGGUUUAAAUGGGUGUGAUAUAUUAACAAAUCUACCAAAGAGAUCUAGUUUCAACACUUCAUCUACCAAUGAUUUUAUUGGGGGUGAUUAUUAUUAAUGAUGCUUAUCGUAGUAGUCAAUUGUGAGGAACAGUGGCCUUUAUAUCUUGCUGCAGCACCCUGCUACUCCUCUAAGGACCUUUAUAUCAUGCGUAGCCAUCACGGGUCUUUCACGUUUAAAAUCAUGGCGACAGUCUUUUUUUCACAUACCAGUUAUUUGCUGUUUGCUGCUAGUGUUUAACUCAGGCCACGUGCUUGUUGGCCGUGAGAAAAGGGGGUCAAAAGGGUGACCCGAUUCUCACCAGACGAAGACUUUUGUGAACCUAACUAACAACGCUGAACGGUUUAUGUGUUUUAAAUUUUAGCCACUUGUGAUUUAGAACAGUGAAAACAGCGUGUUUUGACUGGAGUUCAUCGUUUUAGUAUUAGAAUAAAAUAUCUUAAUUAAAAUAUUUUAAAAUUUUAAGCGUAAAUUAACAACGGAAGGCCAGAACUUGGAAUAAAUUUUAAUGACAGAACAUACCUAUAUUGUUUAGUAUCAAAUAGAAAAUAUUUGAUUGAUUAAUUUGUGUUAUAAUUUCUUUAUUUAAUUUAUUGUUUGAAAUCUAUUACUAACUAAAGAUUUUAAAAUCUGUUAUAGCUUUUCAUAUACAGAUUGUUCAUUAAUAUAUAAUAAAUUUAAUAGUGGAAUAGUUGUUAUUGUUCUAUUAUAUUGUAAUAGAUGGCAUCCUCUUAUCUGCUAUAGGUAGCUUAAUAUUGACCUUUUGCAUUUAACAUGGUCAAGGUCAUGAAAAAUAGUCAAAAUAUUUAAUCCUUUAGAGCUUACGCUAGUGAAUCAUGCUCAAUGACUUCGAAUAUCUUGGAUUAGACUUACAUAUGAAUGAGCAAGACACUUGUUUAUUUCAUUGAAAUUAUUCUUUAUGUCAAUUGCUGCAGACUGAUUGGGAGGGUGGAUAUUUCCCACUGACAAUGCAUUUCAGUGAAGAUUACCCUAGCAAGCCUCCAAAGUGUAAAUUCCCUCAAGGUUUCUUUCACCCUAAUGUGUAUCCAUCUGGAACUGUUUGCUUGUCUAUACUUAAUGAAGAUAGUGUAAGUAUAUCCUUCUGAUAAUUGCAUGACAUCUUGAAGCUCGUAUCAAGUUAUUUUAUAUGCUUUUCAGUGCAUACACAUAUACUUAUUGAAUCAUUCUUUUACAUUUAGGGGUGGAGACCAGCUAUAACAGUGAAGCAGAUUCUUGUGGGCAUCCAAGACCUGCUUGAUCAACCUAAUCCUGCCGACCCUGCCCAGACAGAGGGUUAUCAUCUAUUCAUCCAGGUAGCUAACCUGAAAACACCCCGAAUUGUGUGACUAUACUUGUUUUCAAAGGGUAAAGGAAGGGCUGUCAUAAUUAAUCAAUGCAAAAUGGGGGGUGGCAGUUUUCUCACUAUAUGAAUAUGCAGAUCAUGCUCACGCAUGCACUAAUAAUUGUUAAUAUACUCGCACUUCUUGUCGAAUCUUUUUUCGUUGAACAUAGCCCAAUAUGAGAAAGGGUGAGCUUCUUUGCCAAUUUGGUCGGCACACAACACACAAACACACAUAUAUAAAUGAUGUUUUGAAAAUUUUCUUAUAAUUAAUUUGUAUAUGAAUUUAUAAUCCUUUCUUUAACAUAAUUCAUAUAUUCAUUUUUUCUUUAAACUUUUUAUUUUUUUUAUAUUAUUAUUUUACGAUGUUGGAGACGGGAACCUAAAUUACCCCGAUGGAGAAUGGGGAGGCAGUACUGACCCCUUCCUCGUACUGGGCGUAUGGGGUUUUUGUUAUGCGUUGAUUACCAGUGUAGAGUCCUUAUAGAUGUUUCUUUGUGCAGGAUGCGACUGAAUAUAAGAGAAGAGUCCGGCAGCAGGCAAAGCAAUAUCCACCUCUUGUCUAGUUCUAUGUUUGUUCACUUUAGGAAACUAUUCUAGUAUGUUAGUUGUUGUGAGUUAUUUAUUGUUCCGUGUUGAAACUGUUAUGUGAUUGUUAGCUGCCAUAAUAUGCAGACUCCAUGGUUUUAAUUGUUUCUGGUUACUCUCAGGUCUGGAUAAGGUGUUAAUAUAUUACAAUGUGAAAGUCAACCAAUAAUACUUGUUGGCGACACUUUCUGUGCCUCAUGUUAGCUGGUACAUUUCGAUGUGAAUGGAUAAUUUACUGUGAUGAAUUAUAUGAUAUCAUGACUCCUACCGUGGUACUUUCUAUUCAGAAUUUGUUGUUUCUAUACUGGAUAUCAAACCUCUGUAUCCAUGUCCAAUUGCAGUAUAAAUUAUCACAUGGUGUUGAGAGGUAUCAAUUAACCUUUUUGUAUUCUUGCUUUGAAUGGCUUAUUAUUGAUGCCGAAAUGUAACUGGUAUGAGUGCUGCCUCCCAGUUUAUAAAUUAUAGAACGAUAUAUGAGCCUUGGAUGUACAAGUACCAGAGACUCUAUAUUAUGUUGGAUAUGGUCGACGCACUUCAAGUGACACAGACCAAUGUAUUUUAAUUAAAAUAUAUAUCACAAAAUAAUAAAAUUAUGAAUAAAUAAUGUUUUAAUAUCGUGUCCUUUAUAAAUCUUGACAGCUCUCCGACGGAAGAGAAAGGUCGGUGGACGUUGUAAUUUUUAUCGACUUGUGUUUUUUUUUUUUUUUUACAGUUUUGACCCAACCUUUUUAUUCUUAAUUUGAAUCAGUAGUUUUUUUAUCAUCAAUAAUGUUUCUUAUUCAAACGAUAAUUUAAACUCUUGGAAUGCAAUACCGAGAGAAGAUAAAGUAAAAUCUCAAAACGCUCUUUUUCAACGCUUAUACCGAUAUUAAAAAUAAUAAAAGUAUUAAAUUAUUACGGCAAUUUUAAUGGUUAAUUUAAUAUUAUUUUAACAAAUAUCCUAAUAUAUUAGGGCACAAACAAUUUUAAAUUUCUGAUAUAUUGUUUUACCCUUUUUAUAUUCGAGAAAUUAGUUCAUAAUGCUUUUAUAUGUGAUUUUUUUUUUGAAGAGAUAUAAAUACACACUUAGUGCAUAACUCUACUUUUGUUCGAAGAAAAUAGAAACAAGUUCGCGACAUUAAGAAAAUAAUUUAAAUCUAAUUUAAUCUCAAUAAAUUUAAUGAUAUAAGAUAUGCAUUUAUCUAUAUAUUAAAUUUAUUCAUAUUUUUAGAUAAUAUAUAUAAUCUUAAGAGAAAAUAAAUAUUAUAAAAAUAAUGUGAUAUUUUAAUAAAAUUUUAGUCAUUCACCGUAUUAAAUUUUCUAAUAUCAAUGAUAUAGAUUUGUAUCAUAACACAAAAAUAUCUAAUAAAAAUAAUAUAGCAGAUUUAUCAUAACCAAAAAAAAAAAAAUUGGAAAACUAAAAUUUCAUCUUCUCACAAUAAAGGUACGCAUUUCCAAAUAAUAUAGCAGUUUUAUCAUCACUAAUUUCUCUUAUACAAAAACUUUCCUUAAAAUUGAACAUAUUUAAAGAAAAAUAUCUAAGCAAUUAAAAAAAACACUAAUAAUAUCAAUUUGAAAUCUAGGUACAUUUGUGAAAAUAGAAACAUUUUAUCUACUGUAACUUCAACAUGAACAUGAUAUAAGAUAUCAUAUUGAAUAAAUCCCACAAUUACUAAAAUAAAAUAUCCUAAUAAACUUUUAUGUAAUUAUAUAUAUAUAAUAUAAACCAGUUAGCUAUAUCUUUCUUUUAAUGACCAAUUGGAUAAAAUUUUCUUUUAUUAUUACACAGUUUCAUCUUAUAUAAUUUUUUAAUUUAAUGGUAUAUUCGUAUGAUUGUUAAUUAAUGUUAUAUGCGUGUUUGUAUACAUGUGACCUAUAUUACACUACAAGUUCCACAAACUCAAGUUUGAAAAUAUUUUUAUUAAAAUUCCUUUGUUCUUACACAAGAACUUUUAAACUCACAAAGUUUCAAGGCAUACAUUGUUUAAUUUAAAUUCCUUAAUUAAACAAAGAAAAUUACAACACGUUUUUCUCAUUUUUUUUUCCUUUUUUGAUGCCACCAUCCAUAUUUUUCAAAAGCAUUUUGUUUUGUAAUCUGGUACAUGUUAGAAAGUGAGUUUAAGUCUUACUCAACCUCACAAAACAAAACUGACUUGUAAGAUGAAAUUUGUUUCCCACUUAUAUAUUAUAAUUAGGUCAUAUCUCUAGUCAAUAUACUACUUCCAAUAAUAAUUCUAUAGAAUCGUACUAAGAAACCUUAAAAACAUAUUUUCAUAUUUUAUUUUUGAAUCAAUACUCUAUAAUGUGCUUCCUAUCAUCACACAUCUCAUUCCACUACUUUAAACAUAAACUAAUCUUUGCUCGCGCCACAGUCGUUUGUGUAUCCGUAACAUAUAAAGAACAACCAUAUUUUCAUUACAGAAACUGUAACUUUGAUUAUAUAUUUAUUUUCUUACAUUUUUAUUCUCACGAAGGAGAUAAUUUCAUCAAAAAUAUAAGUAGUUAAUAUUCAUUUAAAUUAUUUUUAAUGUAUAUUCUAAUUAUGACAAUCUUAUUCUAAAAAAGGAAACAAAAGUGUUCUUCGUAUUUGUGUAUUCUUUGUCACCUAUUUUUUGUUAUGGAUUCCUGUGAGUCGUAAGUUACUCAUGCAGUCGAAAGAUCCAUGUUUCAGAUGGUUUGAGUUACAUUUUAUUAUUUGAUGCGUAACAUCAUCUCUUGGCAGCAUAUGUAACAUUGUUUUUUAAAGCUUAACAUUUUAUGCGAGGGAAAAAGUGAUUAGAUAACUUUUUAUAUAUAUUUUCGUUUACUCCAUUAUUUACUAUUCUACUCCUUACCUGUAUUUAUUUUUCUUUCACCAUUAGGGAAUGGAUGCAUGGAAGGAAUUUUGAAGUGAUGGAUAUCAGUGGAGUCAGCGAACGAUGUUUAUCAUAAAAUACUACCUCAUUGUUGUUUAGCGUAAAAAAACCCAAAAUAAUUUUAUAAUAUACAAUAAACUUUUCAUAAAAUAAAUAAAAAAUAAGGUAAUCAAAAGUCAUUUACUAAUUAAAGUUAUAUUUAAAAAAAAAAUUAAAUAAAGUAAAAAUAGUUAAAAUCGUUGAUAUUAGAUAUUUUAACAAGUCACUUUCAUUUAAAAUAAUUUAUUAUUAAGCGUGAAAUCUCAAGCCAAAUGCAAACACAAAGUACAUUAUUCAGUUGCUCUGAUCGACGAGUGUUGUUUGAAACAGGAAGGAAAAAAAUGGUGUUAAGGAUUGGGUGUGGUUUGAUGAGCAUUGGAAAGUUUGAUGUGGAUGAGUUCCUGAAUGAGUUCGUUCAAGUUGUUGUGAGAAGAGCCACCAUCCUCUAUAGCUUUCUUUGCAGCACCGCUUAGCGUCUUCGUUCUUCUCCUCAUAUCCUCGCCCUUCUCGCUCAUCAUCACACCAAUGGCGUUUCCAAUGUCUUCUGCUUUCACAACUUCUCCAUCAAACUCGUUCCAGUUUCUCCACUCUUUUGCCCCCACUGACACUCCUAUUUUCAGCACAUCCACCACCAGCUUCUCAUUGAAAAAAUGCUCCGCAAACAGAGGCCACGUCACCAUCGGCAACCCCGCAUUCACGCUUUCCACCACCGUGUUCCAACCACAGUGAGUAACCAAUCCUCCGAUCGCAGGAUUCUCUAGUAUCAGCAACUGCGGCGCCCAACCCCAUAUCAGAUACCCUUUCUUGCUUUCCUUCAUUCUCUUCUCAAACUCUUCCAAAAAUUUCUCUCCUUCUCCACCCUCAUCGUUUUUCCUCACCACCCAAAUGAAAUCUUUCCCAGAAUCUUCAAGGGCACUCGCGAUUUCAACAAGCUGGGAGUAAGGAAACUUGUUCAUGCUUCCAAAACUCACGUACAAAACAGACCUCUCUGCUUUCGUGUUGAGCCACUUUAGCCACCCUUCUUCUCCUUCGUCCUCUUUAGCGUAGCCACGUGCAGCCUUAUCCGAAGCAUCCUGGUUCGCCCACAACGAAACCGGUCCGAUUCCCCAACUCUUGGUCCCCAUCACGCCCUUGUAGUGGUCGUAGUAAGCACUCUCGAGGUCGUAGAAACUGUUGAAAAUGGACCCGUAGCUCUUUUUUUCUGACUCUUUAAUCGUUUUCAUCAACUCCGUGUACUGGUUCGGAGAUCUGAGCCAAUCCGGCAACUGCAACGGCGUCAUCUCCAACCUGUCGGGCAACCCAGGUAUCGCAAACGGGUCGCUGUUGGAUUUCGCUGCCAGAUGAGGUGCGUACUGCUCCACCGCGUGGGCAGCGGAUCGAGCGAGAUAACUUGCGCCGUGGAACAUGAUCCUGGGAAUGCUGAGCUUGGCGGCGGCUUCGACAGUCCAAGGGUGGAACAUGUCGGUGACGAUGAAGUCGGGUCGGAGAUCGUGGAAUAGUUGUUCGAAGCGAGGUUGGAGAAUGGAGAGACCCAUGUAGAUUCUGGGGACCAUCUCGCGAGGCGUGUCGACGUUGAAGGCUUCGAUCCCCGGCGGAAGCCCCACUUCAGCGGCGGGGAAGGUCACCAAGUGCGUUCUNAUGGGGCGGCCGCGACUGGAGUCGAGGUCUACGGACUUCUGGAAAACNGUGGCNUUUUGUGGNGUNGUUAUUAUGGUGACGUCUACGCCAUGCAUGGCGAAGAGCCUGGCAACGUCGACCAGAGGAAUUAUGUGACUGGUCGACAGAAAAGGAAGGAAAAUUGACUUUAGCUCUGUCUCUUUUCCCAUAAUGUUUUGCUACUUCUAGUUUCUACGCUAUUUCAUUCUUCUUUCACUUUCACUUAUAUAUAUAUAUGCUAUAAUCUUGGGACACUUUUGGUGAUCCUUGGACUUACAUACAUAUUUAUACCCUACAAUCUCUGAACAUUAAAUUAUAAAAAAUAAUACUUUCAUAUGCAUAUUUCUUUUUAUAUUAAAUAACACAGAUGGUCCCAGUUUUUUAAAUAUUUAUUAAAGAAUUAAGAAUAAUUACACAUUGUACCGGUGUUCUUAAAUUAUUACCCAUUGUCUCGCUGACAUGUUUUCUGUGAUGGCCUUAUACAGUGAUGCAUUGAACAUAUGUCUUUUUGUCAUUAUUGAUCCCAGACAUUGAAUUGAAAAUAUGUUUUUAUUUUAUGAUUCUGUAGGUGAAGCACGGGUGAAUCGAGGCCUGAAUUUAUUAUUAUAAUAAUAUGCGAUAUGGUGCCUCGAGUCUCUCGUGUGGUUAAAAGUUUCCAUUUUGGUGAACAGUAAACACGAUGCAUACAGAUUUUGGAACACUUGCACACGACGCCAAAAUCUUAAUUUCUAAAUACUAUUUAUUUUGGACAAAUUUAUUAAUUAAUAUUGAUCAAAGUAUUAGAAAUUAAAUAUUAAACAUAAAUUAAAUAUUAAGUAUAAUCAAUAUUAUAAGUUAAAAAUAUGUAUUCACAAUUAUAUAUUCAAUUUUCAUAAAUCAAGAUAAUUUAUAUAAUACAUAUUUUAUAUACUUAAUUUAUAACUAUUGGUCAUCUCUCCAUUUUACGGUAUCUUUUGUAUAUGUAUAAUAUAAAAUCAUAAUAGGUUAUUAAACCACACAGAAACGUAGGUAUGCUUUAUUUAUUUUUAGGAAAUUAUUUCAUAUAGCAUAAUUCAUAUUUCAAACAAAUAAUUACCAUUCAUUAAAACAUUAACUCAAUUUAAAUUUAGUUCCGGAAUAACAUUUGUUGAGUAUAAUACCCAUAAAGUCGUCUAUCGCUCAUAUAAUUCUACAAGGUAUUUCAUAGACUAACUAUGAUUUUAAUAGAUAUGAAAUCUUUAAUGACAUUGUUACGUUAAAGAAAGAUGUAUCUUUAACAACUUUUUUUAACAACUUAUUUACAAUCGUCUAUAUGAUAACUUGAGAUUGAUCCGUUUUAAAUAUACGAAUCAAUAAAAUAGUAACAUAUAAUCUAUUGUUAAAAAGUUGUUAAAAUAUCAUGAUUCUUAAGUUGGUCGUCAUGACAGAACUUUCUAAACAUAAUGAGUUGUCAAAUUGAUUUGUUAGUUCUAUUUGAACAAUUAAAUUGUUUUUAUAAUACCAAUUAAAAACUCUUAUCUCAUUUAAAAAUAAUCUCAAAUAACACUAAUUUUCGAAAAGGAUAUCUCAAAUCAAAUGAAAGUAUUAUUCAAACCAAUUUUAAAACACAAAGAGUUAAUUAUUUAAUUUUUAACAUUAAACCAAUACAAUCAUAUAUACCAUGAUUUUCUGAUUUCUUCCUCAUAACGAAUGCUACCAUUAAUUACAUAGAAUCAUCAAAUCAUACAUAAUUUUAAUAUUGUACAAACUAACUAGCAUGUAUCCAUUCACCAUACAAAUUUAUUAAAAAUCUCCAACCAAUUCUUAUUUCACAUAAUCAUUUUAAUCAUAGGGAUUUUACACACAAAAAUACAAGUAUAAAUAAUCAUUUGCAUCAACAAAAUACAAUAUUAUUAAGAAAUAAUUGAAUCUUACCAAUCCACAUAUCAUAAAAUAAAUUAAGAAUUGAAGUAAUAAAAAUAAUAAUCUUUUCUUACCUCAAAAUAGUUUCUCUUAAUAUUAAAAUCCCUUAGCUCAAGAAGCAUUAUGACUCACUAUUACAGAUCUAGAUUAAGUUAUUAAAAAAAGUUUCAAUUAAAGAAGUUUCAAUAUAAAGAAAAGUUUCAAGAAGCAUUAUCUCUAAAUUUGAUAUAUUUUUUAACUUCUCAAUUUCAUGGUUGCACUUAGGUUUUAGAGAAAAGAUAAGAAAUGAAAAGGAAAUUAUGAGAAAGAGAGAGAGAAGAAAUAGGAAGCCAUGGUCUUAUACUUUAUGUCCACUGUAUAGUAUAGAUAACAUAUAAUUUUUAUUGAAAAUUCGUGUUUUUAUGAGAUUGUUUACACAUCAAUUGAUUCUUGGAUUAACAUAUAUUCGUCUCUUUACAAUGAUAUUCUUUGUUGCGAACAUCUUUAUUUAUAGAAUAAUAAAUUUAUAAUAUUUCAUUAAGUUAUAUUUAUAAAUUUCUAAUGUUGUAGAUAUUAUGGUUGUGAAUAAAGUUUCGCCUAACUCUUUUAUAUUAAGAUAUGAAAAUUACUCAUUAAAAAAAUAAUAUUUUAAAUUGUAAUUUGUUAAUAAAAAGGAUAAGUAAAUAUAAUUUGUUAAUAUAAAUUACUCUUUAAUAUUUCAUUCUUCUUCCUUUCACAUAUAUAUAUAGUGCAAUUCUUCCCCAGUGAUACUGUCGUACCUUCACUCUUCAGGCCCGCACUGGGAGGAUAUAAUAUCGUUGAUAUAGAUGUUUCCAAAAGUUGUAUGCAUUAAGAACCACAAAAUAUCAUGUUAAAAUGUAUUCGAAGUUUACUUAAGACAUAAUUUAAUUCAAAAAAUGUUUUGUGUUGUUUUUAAUAAGUGAAGCCCGUGUGAAUCGAGGCCUUAUUUUAAAGUAUUUUUUGAAUCAACUUUACAUUUUACUAAUAUAAAUGGGUCUCCAUAUUUUCUCAGCCAAUUUUUAACACACUUUUUCCAAACAAUGCCACGUGUCAGCAUUUGAUUGGUCAAUUUCAAUUAUUAUUAUUUUAAAAUUUAACGUCAAAAUAAAUUUUUUUACCAAAACUUCAAAUAAGUUCAUUCUUGUUUUGUUCGAAUCUAGAUUCAAAAAGAUUUCAAAUGACUAUCAACCCAUAAUUUUUAGAUCAGUGUACUAUAUAUAGUUAAUUUCCCAAAAACGUUUUUUUUAAGCUUCUUAAAUGAGUUUACUUUCAAGUUAUUGUUUCAUGUUUCUUACCUUAGAUGGGAAAAUUACAAAUUAGUAGUUAGUGGAAAUAUUUUUGAGUCUAUUUUGUAAUGAAAAAAGAAUCAACUCGUUUGUAUUUCGGUGGAGAAAAUUAAAAGCAAAACAACCAGCAAAGGUCAGAGGUGGUAAGAAUAUAUAAAACUUUAACUUUAGGGAAUUAACUUUACCUACUAAGAUGUCAAAAAGUUACAAAUUUGUAGUCAUUGGAAAGACUUUUGAGUCUAUUUUCUAAUAAAAAAAGAAUCACAUCAUUUGGAGGUCUGUGGGAAAAGUUACGAUUAAAAUAAUCAGCAAAGGUCAAAGCCCACAUAUACUUUUGAACCAAGUUAGGUGAACUGCAGGAGUCAGCUGUGGGCACAUAAGUAGCCAAAGAUAUUUUAUGUAAUUUUUUCAUAUUUCUUGAAUGAAUGUAAGUUAUUUUUAAUAUUUAAGUGUGAGUAGAGCCUGAAAACUGGGUUUUGGGCAAUCCUUAGUGGAGGACAGACCCAAUGUUGGUGUCAUGACCAAGUUAACAUGCUGUCAACUUUGACCUUUGCUGGCUAUUUUAAUGACAACUUUUCCUACCAACCUCCAAUGUGAUUCUUUUUUUAUAUGAAACUAGACUAAAAAACCUUUCCAAUGACUACUAAUUUGUAAUUUUUUGGAUAUCUGAGUAGGUAUAGUUUAUUUCUUAAAGUUAACACUUUAUAUAUUCCUACCAACUUUGACCUUUGUCGAUUGUUUUGUUCAUAACUUUCUCCUCCGAACUCCAAACGAGUUCAUUCUUGUUUUGUUGUAAUAUAGACUUGAGAAUUUUCAAAUUAUGCCUUGGUAAUUAAGUAUAGGCCUUUUUGGCCAUUGUAAUCGAUUACAAGGAUCCUAUAACCGAUUACACAAACAAAAAUCUGGUUUUGUAGAAAAACUUGUGCUAUAAGAGCCAAAAACAUUUUACGUAAUUUUUUCAUAUUUCGUAAAUGGAUGAGAGUUCUUUUUAAUGUUUAAGUGUGAGUAAAGCCUGAAAAUUGGAUUUUGGGUAGUCCUUGGUGGAGGAAAGAUGUUGGUGUCAUGACGAAAUUAAUAUGUUGUCAACUUUAACUUUUGCUGACUAUUUUAAUCAUAACUUUUCCCACAUACCUCCAAAAUGAUGUGAUUCCUUUUGUAUUAGAAAAUAGACUCAAAACUCUUUCCAAGUACUACUAAUUUGUGAUUCUUGGUCAUCUAAGUAGGUGCAGUUUAUUUCUUAAAGUUAACGUUUUACACAUUUUUGCCACCUCUGACUUUUGCUAGUUGUUUUGCUCAUAACUUUCUUCACCGAACUCCAAAUGAGUUGAUUCUUGUUUUGUUGGAAACUAGACUCAAAGACCUUUCAAAUUACUUCAACCCAUAAUUUACGACCCCAUUGUAAUGGAUUACCCGUGUAUUUUUUGCUGCACAACUUUCAAGUCUUCACCUAAGUUGGUAAUAUCACAAACAUUGUUUCUUUCCUCCAUGAUGGAGUGCCCAAACAUUACUUCUCAACCUCUACUCACACGUAAACACCAAAAAUCAAGUGAAAACCAUUGGAUUUAUGUCAAAGAGUUAUAAAUAUUGGUCACGGUCACACAAGUUACCAUAGUUGGCUCCUGCAAUACAAGUUUCUGUACAAAACCAAGAUUUUCCACGUGUAAUCGUUUACGAGCCAGUUGUAAUCGAUUACCAGUGUGUUUUUGGCCUCUACAAGUUUCAGGACUUCACCUAAGUUGGUAAUCUCACAAACAUUGUUUCUUUCCUCCAUGAUGGAGUUCCAAAAUAUGUCUUUCCACACUCUACUCACACCUAAACACCAAAAUCAAUUGUAAGCCUUUAGAUUCAUGCCAAAAACUUAUUAAUAUUGCGCGUUACUUUGUCAUCAAAAUAAACACAACGUAAAUGAAAUAAAAUUGCACAUUAAGUAGUCAUGAAAGCUAUCAUCUUAUUGCAAUAACAAUUUGUACAUAAAUAUCAUUGUUUGUUACAAAGCAAAAAAUCCAUCUUCGUCUAAAUACAAACAAAAUCUCUACAAAUGAAACUAAUCAUGUAACAAUCCAUAUUGCGCUGACGCUUCCAUUCUUCUAAUGUUCUCGUUGUUCAGUAUCCACUCCUAAUAAUGCUACCAACCUUGGAUAAAACUUCAAUCCUGGGUGGCUUGCGACAAAGAGGCACAAUGGAAAAAUGGUGAGUACGAAAGGUUAAGGUUCGCCCAACACGAAAACGCCAAUGCUCAAGAAGAUGGUUAAGAUUCGUGCAACACACGAAAGCCACAAAACAACACGACACCGCGAAAGCACAAUACCAAUGAUAGAUAGGGACAUCCAAGACGACUUCAUUGUUGCACAACAGGAUGCUGGGUCGUACCACAAACAAAGAGUAUAACAGAGAUGGGAGACCAACCAAGAGGAACGAUGGAGGUGAAGAUGGGCCAAGGCGUUAGGGUUCUACAGAAAGACGAGAGAGAUGAGAGAACCAAAGUGCGAAUGAAAGAAGAAUAGAGAAAAAAUGAAAAGAAAUUUCAUAUUUUUCCUCCUUAUAAUAUCCUCCCCUAAUUAAUUGAAUAUUGUUUUUUUUUUUCAAAUUGAGCUAAUGGACAACUGCCACGUGGCAUUGUAAAAAAUGUGUCAAGAAAAUGUUGUUAAACAAGCAUUUUACAAUAUAAAUAUAUGCCACGUCGACUAAUCGGGAUUUCAGAGAGUGUAACGUGGCUAUUAUACCCUUGCAUGCAAAAUUUGUUUUAGAAUAACAAAUUUAAAUUUUUUAAUUUAAUCUACCCAUAUUAUUUAUGGCUAAUAAAUAGUAUACAUGAAAAAAAGAUAUAACUUUUAUGUGAAAUAAUGCAAAAUUAUUUUGAUAAUUUCGACAUUAAUUAUUCAUUGUGUAAAUACAAUUAUUAUUAAAAAAGCGUACGGAAACCCUCGUAAUGUAAAAAAAGAAGAUUAAAUAGUAAUAGUCCGACUAUGUAAACUAUUUCCUUAAUAUAUAUAUAUAUAUAUAUAUAUAUAUAUAUAUAUAUAUAUAUAUAUAUAUAUAUAUAUAUAUAUAUAUAUAUAUAUAUAUUUGGAAGUAGGAUAUUACGACGUGAUUAGAAUAAUGAUAUCAAUAAUGAGCAUAUUAUAACCAUGUGCUGUAGUAAAUAAAUUAGAUCUAGAUAACGGUGGCUCCGACAAAAUGUUGUGUGCAUGCUAAUUAACAUAAAAUACUAUAAUUUAAUUUAAUUAAAGGUUUUACAUAAAUCUAUAUAUGGAAACGGAAAACAAGAAGAUUAGGUGUGUGGAAGUAUAAACGUACAAAAGAACAAAAUAUCAUAUUUAAAAUGAGUUCGAGGAAAAAGUUUCCCUCCAUUUAAUUUUUUUAAGAUUAUAUUAUGAAAUGUGUUAUAUUACUUGUUGAUUUCUCAACAGACACAUUUAUUUAUUUCGUAAUUUAUUCUUAAACUGUGUUUUUUAGUUUUGUAUUUAAAAAUUGGUUUCGUUAUUUUAAAAGCGACUAAAAUCGUUUAUCAAAUUCAAAUAAUUAAAAUCAUUUUUAAUUUAAAUUUGAUAGCAUAAACAUUUUAAAUAAAAUAAAAACUACUUUUAAAAGGCAAAACCAAAAUUUCAAUACAAAAUUACAUAUUUCAUGUAGAGAAAUCGGUUAUCCCACUCCGUUUCUCAAUAUGAGCAUUAAAAUGUGAAAUUAUGAUAGAUAAUUUAUUACAUAUUUUACACUUAGGCAACCUUUUGAGUUAUUAAUCACAUCUUAUGGCAUACCUUUCUUAUAUUUAUCUUAUAUUUGAAAUAACUAUGAAAAAAGUUGUUUGAAUAAAGUAAUUUUCAUGUCUUUGGGAGAGUUUGUAAUUUUAGUUUUAUAAUUUAAUAGUUGUUUAUGGAUAGGAGAUGACAAAGGAAUGAUAUGAAUGUGAGAUUGAGUAUCUUAUUCUCAAAGUAAAAAAUUAUUUUUAGUUUUAUAAAAUUUGUCUGAAAUUUUAAGUUAUUUAUGGCUUAAAUGAUAUGUUUGAAUCCUUCAAAUUCAAAUGGACCUUUUAACAUUGUAUUUCUUUUAAUUAAAUUCAUGUUUCAAUACGUAUUAUAAUUUAAUAAACUACAAUUUUAUCUAGUUUUGGUUUAGAAAUGGAGUAUUCCAUAAGGUAUUUUCGUAUAUUCCAAGAUGUUUUAAAAAUAUAUUUGAAGUAGUUGUUUCGAAAGGUUUUACUUUCCAUAAAACUAAAUAUGGAAAUAUUAAAGAAAAGGAGAUGUAAAUAUUUUUAAUAUAUUUUUAAUGAGGUGUAGUUUGAGAAUUACAGGUUUUUAAUGGGGGUAUAGGAAGAAAAAAGAGGAGUGUAGGAUAAAAUUUACUUGCAAAACAUUUCUUGUAGGCCAAGCCCACUUGAACCUACUAAGACGUUAAUAAAAUCAAUUUUCAAAGCCCACAAACCGAAUAAAACAAUUGAGAAAAAAAUAAACCAAAAUUCUAGGGCUUGUCGCGUGUGAACUGAAUUCCAUGGACGACAUGGCUGCCUACUACUCACAGCCCCAACCGGCGGGCCUUCUCACUUACCAUCAGUACUAUCAACCGCCACCUCCGCCACCUCCUCCGCUGUUGGCGGUGGUACCACCGCCACCCGGCGCGGUUGUCCCGCCGGCGCACCACGGGCAUCCGCCAUACGUGGCUCAGCAUCAGCAGUUCGGUUCUUACGGCGCUCCUCAACCCUCCUCGAACGAGGUUCGCACCCUCUUCGUCGCUGGCCUUCCAGAAGAUGUAAAGCCCCGCGAAAUCUACAAUCUUUUCCGCGAAUUUCCCGGUUACGAGUCUUCACAUCUACGGAGUCCCACCAAUUCGUCUCAGGUUGAUUGCAAUUUUAAUUUAUUGAGUAUCUUUAUUUAUGAAUUGAUGUGAAUCGUUUCACUGAUGUGGUUUUCAUGUCUUGGCAGCCUUUUGCUUUUGCUGUGUUCGCCAGUCAGCAGUCAGCAAUCAUGGCAAUGCAUGCUUUGAAUGUGAGGAUCUUAUCCUAACAUUAAUUGUUUGUUACUUGUUUUUCUCAUUGACAUCAAAUGCAUUUGUCUACGUGGCUUUACUUGUUUUGAUUAAUGUGGUUUGCAGGGCAUGGUGUUUGAUCUUGAAAAGGGCUCCACUCUUUUUAUUGAUCUGGCAAAAUCAAACUCUAGAUCCAAACGCACUAGGAUAGGUAUGCGUUUUUAUUAGUUCUAAACUCCAUUCAAGGAAUUCUGUUGUUAUUUUUAUUAUGUUUUAGAUCUUCCAGUUGAAUUUUGUUGAUUGACUGACGUUUACAAACAGAUGAUGAGAGAAUCGGUGCCGAUAAGAAAGCUAGAAGUCUUACAUCAUCAUGGGUCACUCCCGAUUCUGGUAAGAUGUUGUUAGUUUGAAACUUGGUGCGUUGUUGUCUGUAUAUGUAGGUUGUGUGAAGUUUUUAUUUUCCCAGUUUACUGCUGUGUUAUGUUCAGUUCAUCGUUUAUUCUGUUGCUUUGAGGCCAGUAACUAUUGAUCACACCAAGGACACUUGCCUAUGAGCUCACAUUGCACAUGUUUUGCACUCUUCGGCACUAGCAGGUGUUAGCAGCAUUCACAUGCCUGGAAUGGGUAAUCCUGCUUUCAACACGAACACGUUUGGUUAUCCAUCUGCACAAAGGUCAUCUGCACUACUUAAUCACGGUUUUUUAUGUGGAAGUUGAUUGCUUCUAUCUUUGAUAAAGCACAUUUUCCAAAUUUACAUUGUUAGUUUGAGCUUCCUGUAGAACGCUCUCAAUUAGAAGAAAAUAACUAAUGUGUUUAAAGUAAGGGUAAUUCUUUUCAGAUUAACCCUUUGUGUUUGUUGCAAUCUCAUCUGAUUAUUUGCUUCUCUGUUUUUGGUAAUAGUCUUGGAAGUGCUGAUGGUAGUGCUGUGAAUGAUGGUCGAUACCUGAAUAUGGUUAGUGUUGUAAAUGCUCAAUUUAUAUGUUUUAGCAUAGCCUUAAAAAGAUUUCCAGUAUGAUGUGAUUCAGUUGGUCAUAUAUCCUUGUUAAAUUGAAAUUGCUCUUUUGUUUGGAAACAUGUCUCAAUUUUUUGAUUCUGGUAAUCUUUAACUGAAUUCAAAUUUUUGUUCCCUUUAGAUGACUUGGAGAAAAGCUACUCCUAAAAUAAUGCUUCAUCUUUUUGUUUUAGGAAAUAUCUUUGGAAAUAAGAGGUCUGCUUUUCAUUUCUAUUCUAUUUGAUUUUUAAUGUGGUAACAAUAUACAGAACGUAUAGAAGUAGGAGAGAUGAGAUUUUUAAUGUGGUAACAAUAUACAGAACGUAUAGAAGGGCUAUCCUUUAAAAUUUUAAUAGAGGAUACGAAAGUAAAAUAUAUUUUUUGGACAUUUUGGUAUAUACGCAGUGCAAAUUUCAUAAAAGAAUUCCCUUUCACACUCUUGCAACAUUGGAGGGGUGAAGUAGGAGAGAUGAGAUUUUAGUUGUCUUAUUUCCAUUCUUCAAAGCAUUGAACCAAAGAACAUAAAAUUAAAUAGUUCCCUUUCCGUCUCCGGCCUCUUCUUUCCCCUCCAACCUAACACGGAAAAUUUCUUUGGUUAUUUGCAAUAGUCUUGUUUUCUUGACUACCAAGUAGUGGAUGGUCCUUGGGGUGUAAUGUGCUUUAAGUGGGGUACAAAAUGGUGUGGAAGUAAGAUGGUUAGCUAAUCAGAGUUUCUAUUCUGUGGUUCAACAGUUCCGCAAGGGAUUGGAGCUUAGUCUAGCUAUGCCCUUGGGUGUAAAUUUUAUCUCUUUUUUUCCUAAUCUUCACGAGCUCUGUUUCCAGACCGUGUUGAAACUUCUGUAUUAUGUUCAGGUCCUUUAGUUCUUUGAUUAGGCUGUUCAACUUCAACAUUAUAAUGCUUUAAAUGAUAGUAUAAAAGUAACUUUUGGAGAUGGCAUGAUACUUAUCUCGUAAAGCUAUUCUUCAUUCACAUAGCCAUUUGUUUGCCAUUGAUGAAAUGUGAUCUUAUGCAAAUAUGCAAUAUAUAAGUCAAUAGUUUCUCAUGUUUAAGUAUCAUGGUCUUCCUCCAUGUCAUAUGUAUUCGACAGUACCUUAUUUAAUCCUAGGACUACACAUUUUACCUGAGUAAUUGUUUUGUUUCUUAUGUUAUAUGUUGACAGAAGAAGUCUUCAUCUCCUUACAUUCCUCAAAACUCAACCCCGUGUGCAACUUUAUUUGUAGCAAAUCUGGGGCCAUCUUGUAAUGAACAAGAGCUAAUGCAAGUUUUUUCUAGGUUGGUAGACAUAUACGCAUGGGUUGUUUUUGUAUUAUUAAAAUCUGUAGAAGUGUAAUUUGAUUUUGUUUUUAUAUAAAAUUUUACAUCAGAUACCAUGGAUUUUUGAAGCUGAAGAUGCAGAGCACAUACGGGGCGCCAGUAGCAUUUGUUGAUUUCCAGGUUUCUUUUCGUUAUUUAAUUUUUUCUCUGGAUAUAACUACUAAAUGGGUGUAUUUUAUCAUUGAGCAGCAUUUAGAAAGCCCCCAUACAUUAUGGGGAUAUGGGAGAAUGUUAAACAUGGUAAAGUACGAAAAGGUUUAGAUGCUUUAACAAAAAGUUAUAUGUAGUAUUUGUGAAGAGACAUUCGCAUUACAAAUUGCACGUUAAUACAUGAACGUAUCAAUAAUCCAUGUGUAAUUGUCACAGUUGCUUAUCUUUCCCCCAUCCAUGUCAGAGUAUUUUCUUUUACAAUGAAUAAGUUACAAAAAAUAUACAAUUUCCUUGCCCAAGCAAGAAUGUCAUAGUAAAAAUCACUACUCCAAACAUUUUAUUUUUUGUUUUUGUAUUUUUGGUCCAUAAAUCUCAGAAUUACUAGCCCUUGUUCUACGUGUGGAAGAGAUACUCAUUUUUGGCAAUAUUCAUUACUGGGUGUCUUAUAACAAUGAAAAAACUACAUGAGAUACAGAACAUUGUCUUGAGCCAUAUGGAGGGACUAAUGUAUGUACAGAGUAUUGGAAACGCUUCAGGCAAUUUACUUUCAAAAUAUUUAAUUGAUGAAUUUUGAUUUUUUUUAUGGGUGUUGGACAUUUUUCCGUAUGUGAUGCUUCAGACACCUAUUUUUAGAGCACCUUUACUUGACAGCCCAACACAUUCCUGUAUCAGUUUCUUAUUAUGAAUGGAUUUCCUGGGCUUUUUAGUAUUCAUUUAAAAUUCAACUAAUUGGCUGUAAUUGUGAUGAUGAUAUCUAACAUGAAAACUAGUGUAUGGGCUUCAUUGGCCAGUUGCUUAAUUUUUAUUUGGAGGCUUACUCUGAGCAGUCACGAUAGUAUAUACUGUUGACGCCCAUAGUAUAUGUGCAGGAUGCCACUAGCUCAACUGAAGCUCUGAACAGUUUGCAAGGCACAAUUCUUCACUCUUCGCAAACUGGCGAGGGAAUGCGUUUAGAGUAUCCUUUGGUCAUCUGCGCUCUUGUUCUCAUUCACUUCUGUUGUUUUUUUUUUUUUUUGUGUGAUUUCGGUUGUGGUCGAAUCUUAUUACUGUUCCAAUGUUUGGUAUUGCUUAAUAAGAAUCUUAGAUAUGCAAAAUCGCGGAUGGGCAUGCGAAAGAAGCCAAAGUAACUUACAUGCUGGAAAAUUAGAAAAUGGAAAAAGGUGAAAAAACACGAGAAUCACUCAUGAUGCCUUGGGGCAGAACAAUGAGUUGUUAUUUGCGGCUACAACAGAGAAUGGAAGCUGGGUUGCCUUCAUCCCAAAUCCAAAAUUUGCAGAACUUGUUCACUGUUUUGAAAAUAGAAAAAAAGGACACAAGUUAAAUGCUUGUUGUUCAUCAAUCAUCGAUCUUGUUCUCGUGUAUUUUAUCUACUGUAAAUUUAUAUAGAACUACUUUUUACUUUACAGCUCUUGGAAACACUGAUAAAAAUAUUAUUAAUUUUAUUUGUAUUUUAUCUUUUGUUCUUGGGUAUUUGGUGUAGUUUAUAUUUGUAUAUUACAGCUUAUAAAUUUGAUGGUGAAAUUUAAUGGGUAAAACAUCCGUCAUUUUAGAUGGACUCGUUGCCAAUAGAUUAGAAAACAAGAACAAAUCACAAGGGAGAGACAAGGCAAAAAAAAUGCGAAAACAAAAUGAGACAAUAAAGAGAUGAAGAGAGAUUUCAGUAGACGUGACAAUGGUCGGUGAGAAUGAAUGACAACCAAGAGAAAGACUUGAGAUAAAGAGAUUUCAAGUUGCUAAGAGGAAGAUGAACCCCUUUUCUCAAUUUCCAAAACACCCUCUGCAUAAAAUUUUAUUAAAUUUUACUUCUGAAGAUAUUAUUUAAAAUGCACAAUCAAAUAUUGCCACGUGGUGUUAAAAAUACAUUUUCAUGAUCUGGAAUGGAAAUGGGAUAAAAACGACAAGUCGUAUUGAAAAAGUGGUGUCAAGGAGCGGGUGCGGUUUCUUGAGCUUUGGAAAGUUUGAUCUGAUUGAGUUCGCGAAUCAGUUCGUUCAAGUUGUUGUGAGAAGAGCCACCAUCCUCUAUAGCUCUCUUUGCAGCACCGCUUAGCGUCUUCGUUCUUCUCCUCAUAUCCUCGCCCUUCUCGCUCAUCAUCACACCAAUGGCGUUUCCAAUGUCUUCUGCUUUCACAACUUCUCCAUCAAACUCGUUCCAGUUUCUCCACUCUUUUGCCCCCACUGACACUCCUAUUUUCAGCACAUCCACCACCAGCUUCUCAUUGAAAAAAUGCUCCGCAAACAGAGGCCACGUCACCAUCGGCAACCCCGCAUUCACGCUUUCCACCACCGUGUUCCAACCACAGUGAGUAACCAAUCCUCCGAUCGCAGGAUUCUCUAGUAUCAGCAACUGCGGCGCCCAACCCCAUAUCAGAUACCCUUUCUUGCUUUCCUUCAUUCUCUUCUCAAACUCUUCCAAAAAAUUCUCUCCUUCUCCACCCUCAUCGUUUUUCCUCACCACCCAAAUGAAAUCUUUCCCAGAAUCUUCAAGGGCACUCGCGAUUUCAACAAGCUGGGAGUAAGGAAACUUGUUCAUGCUUCCAAAACUCACGUACAAAACAGACCUCUCUGCUUUCGUGUUGAGCCACUUUAGCCACCCUUCUUCUCCUUCGUCCUCUUUAGCGUAGCCACGUGCAGCCUUAUCCGAAGCAUCCUGGUUCGCCCACAACGAAACCGGUCCGAUUCCCCAACUCUUGGUCCCCAUCACGCCCUUGUAGUGCUCGUAGUAAGCACUCUCGAGGUCGUAGAAACUGUUGAAAAUGGACCCAUAGCUAUUUUUUUCUGACUCUUUAAUCGUUUUCAUCAACUCCGUGUACUGGUUCGGAGAUCUGAGCCAAUCAGGCAACUGCAACGGCGUCAUCUCCAACCUGUCGGGCAACCCAGGUAUCGCAAACGGGUCGCUGUUGGAUUUCGCUGCCAGAUGAGGUGCGUACUGCUCCACCGCGUGGGCAGCGGAUCGAGCGAGAUAACUUGCGCCGUGGAACAUGAUCCUGGGAAUGCUGAGCUUGGCGGCGGCUUCGACAGUCCAAGGGUGGAACAUGUCGGUGACAAUGAAGUCGGGUCGGAGAUCGUGGAAUAGUUGUUCGAAGCGAGGUUGGAGAAUGGAGAGACCCAUGUAGAUUCUGGGGACCAUCUCGCGAGGCGUGUCGACGUUGAAGGCUUCGAUCCCCGGCGGAAGCCCCACUUCAGCGGCGGGGAAGGUCACCAAGUGCGUUCUGAUGGGGCGGCCGCGACUGGAGUCGAGGUCUACGGACUUCUGGAAAACGGUGGCGUUUUGUGGAGUUGUUAUUAUGGUGACGUCUACGCCAUGCAUGGCGAAGAGCCUGGCAACGUCGACCAGAGGAAUUAUGUGACUGGUCGACAGAAAAGGAAGGAAAAUUGACUUUAGCUCUGUCUCUUUUCCCAUAAUGUUUUGCUACUUCUAGUUUCUACGCUAUUUCAUUCUUCUUUCACUUUCACUUAUAUAUAGUGCAAUUCUUCCCCAGUGCCACUUAAGAUGUAUUCGAAUUUUACUUGAUUUAAUUCAAAAAAUGUUGUGUUGUUCUUAAUCAGUGAAGCUCGUGUGAAACGAGGCCUUAUUUUAAAAUGUUUUUUGAAUCAACUUUACAUCUUACUGAUACGUCUCGUGGAGUAAUGGGGAUUCCAAUGGGUAGGUACUUGUCUCACGUGGCUAUCGAUGUGAUUAGAAUAAUGAUAUGAUAUCAAUAAUGAGCAUUUUAUAACUAUGUGCUAUAGUAAAUAAUUUAGAUCUAGAAAAUGGUGGCUCCCACACUACUAUAAAAUUAACUUUUUAAUAUGUUAUUUAGGAUUUUGAGAUUUAUGACACACUUAAAUUUAAGUCUCUUUUAAACAGCAGACUUAUAUAUUAUUUAACAUGUGAAUUGUAGAUAAUGAUGAGAAAAGCAUAUCAAUGUCGCUUGCUCUAGAUAAUUGUAGAGUCCCAAUGGCUAUUGAAUGAUAUUCUUCUGCCAAGGCAUGUCUCAACAUUAAUUGCAGCAAAUGGCACAACAAUCCCAACAACAAAACCACCAAAUGUUUUCAUUUGAUCACCAAAUAACAAAAACAAUUAAGGGUUAUAGAAUCAAGAACAUUAAACAGUGAGAAAAUUUUCAAACUAAAAAAAAUGGUAGGAAGCAUUGUGUAUGCACUUUGUCAUAUAGAAACACAAAAAAUAAUAUAUAAAUAUAUAUAUAUAUAUAUAUAUAUAUAUAUAUAUAUAUACUCAGAUUUUCAUAUGCACAUGUAAUUUUUUUUAAUCUAAAUUAGUUUUAUUAAUUUCAAUAAAUUCAUAAAAAUUAAUUUAUAUCAAUUAAAAAUUAUCUAAUUACAUAUAAACUUAUACAAAAUCAUACAUAAAUUUAAAAUAAUUAUAAACUAAUCAAAUAAUCAAAUAAGUAAUAUAAUUAAACUUUUAUAUAACAUAUUAAUUAUGAAUCGAAAUUUUAAACAUCGAAUAUCCACAUUCGACCGAACUUUGUAGAAUCGACAUCUUAAGUUUAUUUUUAUUCAAAAAUAAUUUUAUUAAUUUUAAUAAAUUCAUGGAAAUUAGUUUAUGUGAAUUAAAAAUUAUAUAAUAUAUUAUACACCCAUACAUAAAAUUAAAAAAAAUAUAUAAACCAAUAUAAUAACUAAUUCAUACAUUAAUAAUAUAAUUUAAACAAUUUGAUAGAAAUAAAAUUUGAAUUAGAUAUGAAAAUCCCAGUCGGCCUACAUCGGAUUUCAAUAGUUGAUGUUGUUGUCUUCUGUAAUCAUGCAAAUAGGUUAACAAAACAAAAUAUUCUCUCCAACAGUAUCACUGCAACUGGCUAUAGCACCAAGAAGAAAGCACCUUAAGCGCACCAUCACAAAGCAAAUCAAGUUUAUUGGAUGCACCACUCCAAGCUGUACUGUAAUAUUAACAAUCUAUCUCAAGUAUCUUUAAUUCUAAAAGUUAUACUCACUAACAAAUAUAACAAUUGAUAUGAGCUGCAAAGGAAAAAAGAUUAUCAGACCUACAAUUCAAUGGAGUGAAAGGGUGUAAAAAAAUGCAUGUUUUGCAAUAGGAGGAAAAUAGAGGUGUAGUCAAUAUUAAAUACAAAAAUUCUCAAUAAAAAAAGUUAAUAAAUAAUCACUUUAUUAAUUUGGGUAUUUUAAGAAAUUGGAGUUCGAAAAUGAAAUCCUGUUGGAGAUGUAGGUGAAACACUAGAUGUCUCUUGAUUUAUGGGCCAAGCAAUCAUGUAACAUGAAUUGUUUGUUACUUUGUUUUGAUUUGAUUAAUGUGGUUUGCAGGGCAUGGUGUUUGAUAUUGAAAAGGGCUCCACUCUUUUUAUUGAUAUGGCAAAAUCAAACUCACUAAGAUAGGUAUGCGUUUUUAUUAGUUCUAAACUCCAUUCAAGGAAUUCUUCUGUUGUUAUUUUUAAUGUUAAUGAUAUUUAAACAAUAUUUUUUUUACAAUAUUUAAACAUAUUUUUACAAACAGACGUGAGAGAAUCGGUGUCGAUUCUGAUAAGACGUUGUUAGUUUGAAACUUGGUUUAUUUGUAGCAAAUCUGGGGCCAUCUUGUAAUGAACAAGAGCUAAUGCAAGUGUUUUCUAGGUUGGUAGACAUAUACGUAUAACUUGUUUUUGUAUUAUUAAAAUCUGUACAAGUGUAAUUUCAUUUUGUUUUUAUUUAAAAUUUUACAUCAGAUACCAUUCAUUUUUGAAGCUCAAGAUGCAUACCACAUUUGUUGAUUUCCAGGUUUCUUUUCGUUAUUUUAUUUUUUUCAAAUUAAAGGAUAUUUAAUUAAAACAUUAGUCUAUGUACAGAGUAUAUGCUAUUUAAAGGAUAUUUAAUUAAAACAUUAAUUUUUUUUAAAGAUUUUUAAUUCAAAUUAACUUAUUUUUGACAUUAUUUUUAUACUAUUUUAAAUUUGAAACAAAUUCCUAAUAAACAAUUUUUAAUUAGUGAAAAUGGAUGUCUUAACCUCAUUAUACAUAAAUGAUUGAAAAUAUUUUCUCGUUUUCAAAAUUUCUACUAUAUAUAAUUUAACAAAUUCUAUAACUUAAACCUAAUUUUAGCACGUUAUAAUUAUUUCUUUUAUUAUUAAUAGCAAUAAAGAAACUUCCGAUGUAAAAGUAUUCUUAAAUAGUAGGUGUAAAAUAUAUAUUUAAUAAUUAUAUUAUAGUUAAGUAACACAAUUACGAUACUUUAUGGAUAAGUAUCUAUAAGACAGAGGUAAGCUUUUGGUUGCAAUGGGCAUAACAUAAGAGUGAGUUCCAAAAUAUUUAUUUCUUUUAGGUGCGAUUGAGAAGAGAAAUAUUUACAUAUGAGAGUUAAUUUUCUCUCUAUUCGAGUUAAAAAAAUAAUAUUAAAUUAAUAUAAUUAUUCUUAUAAUAUCAUAAAAUAUGUAUAUAUUGUUCUCAUAAUAAAUAAAAUUAUGAAAAUAAUAUCUUACUAAUUUCAUUAAAUCUGAUAAUUAUUUAUAAAAAUAAUAAAUCAAAUAAAUAUUCGAUUAAUUACCUUUACAAUUAAUUGUCAUUUUUAUAUUUUUUUUAUCCAUCUUUGUUAAUAAAUAUAAUCAUUAGUAGAUGAAGAAUCUUUUAUAAGUGACUCUCUCUUGUUAAAUUCAUGUUUAACCUGUCUACGUCAUUUUGGACCCAAGCUUUUUUCGGACAAUAACAUAAGUUAAGAAAAUCGAUUAUGUUAUGUGACUAUGUAUGCGUAACAAGAAAAUGUAUUUUAAAUACAAAUAAUUGUAUUUGAUUAUUUGUGAUAGACUCAAUGGUUAGUAGUUAUUCCUCUUGUUAUGAUUAUUUUUUUCUUAUCUCUUCGUAUAAUUGUGUAGUUAUAUAUUUUUUGCAAUCUCUGUGUAUAAUUUCCGACUAUUUAUUUUUAAAUAAAGUUUAUUUUAUUUUUUGUCAUCAUUUUUACAAGAAACAGAUAUAAAAAAAAUUAAAGGCAUAAAAAAAUUGCAUGUAUAAAAAUAAAAGUUGUAGUAACACAGAGAACCUAAUUGUUGCAUAAAGUAAUGGUUGAAAAAUGACACGUCCCUCAUCAAAUAUGCAAAUUGAAGGUCCAAGGAACAUGGAAGUGGCAGAGCAUAUUCAAGACAUUGAAUCAUCACCAAACAUACCAUACUUUACAAUUUUUUUCAAUAUAUAUAUAUAUGUUUAAUUUAAUCUUUUAAGUAUUAUUUUUUUUAAAAAGAUAAUUAUUUUAUCAACUUUUUUAAUAUUUUUUCAAAAUUUAACCAUUUUUUAACAUGAUAAUGUUUUAAAAAGUAAACUGUUUUUUAAAACUAAAAAAAUAAUUAUUUAUAAUUAAAACUUAUUUAUAAAAUAAAUAUAAAUUAUUUAUGAUAAAAUUUUAAAAUACUUAUUAUUAUUAUGAUAAAUUUAUUAUUUUAUAUUAUCAUAGAAAAAACUAAAAUGUAUUUAUUUUCACUAGUAUAUAUAUAAUGAUAUUUAUAUUGGCACGUUUUAUGAUAAUUAAUUAAUUAAUUUAAAUUUAUAUUAACUAAUAAUUUUUUGAGUUGAUUGAUCAUUUCAUUUAUUAACUUUUUUACAAUCAUUUGCAGACCAUAAGUAAUAAUUAUUUACAUUACAUAAAUAAUACUAAUAGUGUGGUUGAAUAAAGGUUAAUUUUUUAUUAAUAAUUAACCAAACAAAUUAGUUUCUUUUAUGAUUUCUUUAAAUUCAUCUAAAAUAAGACCCCUCUCAAUUUUCCUUCAAUUUAAAGGAAAGAUAGAAUUUUGCGAUAUUUCCCAUCCAUUCUCCCGUUUUGUGCAUACAAAAUAAAUUAUUAGCGUAUGAAAAAUGGUUAAUUUUGUAAGAUAUGAAUUAUUUAUAUCAAAAAUAUAAUUUUAAAGUGAAUAAAAAAUUAAAAAAUAAGAUAAUAAAAAAAUUAAAAUUUAUUUGUUAUUUAUUUCAAGUUAAAAUUAAUUCUUAUAUAUAGUUAAAAAAAAAAAUUAACCUUUAUUCUAAGUUCUAGAUUAACUAGUCUUUUAUUUUAACAAAAAUUUAAACAAAUAAGAUUGGGUAUAUCAAGAUAAAUUAAUCAUAAUCUUAUUUGAGGUAAUUUGUUAUAUUUUUUAUGCUUGCUUCAAUAUCUUUUUCUUCUUUUUGGUGAGAUUAGGGAUCGAUAAUCUCUAUUUGUCCCACGUAAAUGACAUAAGAUAAUAUAGUGGCAAUAGAAUUCAAGAUAGGUGUUAUUUAAGUAGUUUGAAAUGUUAAAAGUUAAAUAAACUUUUUGAGAUAAUUUUAGACACGAGACAAAAUAAAAUAUUUGAAGUGUCAGGAGCUGCUCCUUGUUCGUGUCCCCUGCACCAUGUCUCUUGCACCAGCGAUCACUCCCCGCCCUCGUAAGUGUCCGGGUGUCACAUGUCCACCAGCUUCCGUCUGGUUCGUCCUCGAACCACACCGUACUAGGAGAGGCGAGGCUCUGAUACCAUUUGUAACGUCCCAGCAACUUAAAGGGACGGCUGACUGCCCCCACCCAUCACCAUGAGGCUUUCCAGUGUGCUUUGUCCUCACUCGCACACUUUCCGGGAAGACUUUCCGGAAGGUCACCUAUCCCAGAAUUACUCUAGGCUGAGCACGCUUAACCAUGAAGUUCUUAUGGGUUAGGCUACCGAAAAGCAAAUGCAUUUUGGUGAUAUGAGUAGCCAAAUCAAUUCCUUUAAGUUAUCCUUCAACUGUAUAGUCUCAUACUUAUACAGUCUCUAGAUCCCUCUCAUUCCGGUGUAUGUUCGAUUCGUCCAUGUACCCCUUCCACUGAAAGCCUGCCAGGAGCCGCUCCUUGUUCGUGCCCCUUGCACCAUGCCUCUUGCACCAGCAAUCACUCUCCGCCCUCGUCAGUGUCCGGGUGUCACAUGAUGUGACACUGGGCACUCACGAGGGCAGGGAGUGAUUGCCGAUGCAAGAGACAUGGACAAGGAGCGGCUCAUGGCAGGCUUCUAGUGGAAGGGGCAUGUGGACGAAUCGAACAUACACCGGAAUGAGAGGGAUCUAGAGACUAUAUAGGUAUGAGACUAUAGAGUUGAAGGAUAGCUUAAAGGAAUUGAUUUGGCUACUCAUAUCAACAAAUGCAUUUGCUUUUCGGUAACCUAACUCAUAAAAACUCCAUGGUUAAACGUGCUUAGCCUAGAGUAAUUAUGGGAUGGGUGACCUUUAAUCAAAAUAAUUUAUAUCGUAAUCAAACAAAUUGCCAGCAAGUUAACAUAGUCAAAAUACUCGUAAAACUAUCUUGUAAUAAUGUAUUUCAUUGAAUUCAUUUUCUUCACUAAAGUACCAUUUUAAGUGUAAAAACAUAGACUAAAGAGAAAUAAAUUAAAAAAAAAUAAAAUCUUACUUAUGUGUUUUAUAAAAUAUUUUUUUUAAAUUACAAAUAAAAUAUAAUUAAAUGAACUAAAUUUGAUAUAUCUGUUUUAAAAUGUUACAGUAAUAGUAUUGGACGUAAGUAAAUUACUACUCAUGUAAAGAUGGUAAUUUAAAAAAAAAAAAGCAAAAGAAAAAAGAAAAGUCAACCUUAACUGUGUUGAUUUUAAUUAAUAUCAGCCAGGAGCAUUGAUUGGACAUACCCGAAAGCCAAUUUUCACCGACAUUUGACUUUUCCUUCAACAAUGAAAGAACCAACCACAUUAAGGUUAACAGUAACGUUAACAUCCCUACGAUAGGAUAUGUGUCCUACAAAACAACCCAAAUCUAAAAACUUGCUCAUUAUUUUCUUCUGUAUUAAAUCAGUUUCCUCAUUUUCCGACACUUCUACCAUUUCUUCCAACUACCAGGUUUGGUCGUGUCGCUAUGUGCAUGCAUAAUUCACUGUUCUUUUUUUCUCGUGAAACAUCCAAAAAGUCAGAAUGCGCCUCUACCCUCUACUUACUGGAUACCUAGCUACUACCCUAUACUGUCUACUAUUACUCUUUUUCUUUUACUAUAAUAAACGCACAUUUCUUUUUCUAUCUAAUAUUAAUUAAUAUAGAAGCCAAAUAUAAUGAGAAGUAUUCCAAUGUUAGCAAAAAGAAACUAUUAAUAUAAUAAAAAAUCAUAGAAGUAAAAAAAAAAAAACAAACACACUUGAGAUGAUUUUAUAAAAAAUAUUUCAAAAUAAUGAUUAUUUCUAAAAAACCAGUUAAGAAUUAUAAUUAAAAAAAAACAAUAAUAAUUAUAUUGAGUAACCACUCCCAAAAAUCUCUUACCAUUGGAGGUAUCUAUGUGUAUAUAAAUCCUUGAUCAGUCAUUCUUUUACUCAAUGUGAGAUUUUGUUUGCACUUCAACAAAGCAAACAUUUUAUUUUAUGGAGGGAAUAAAAUGAUUGUUGAGUGAAUUUAGACAUAUACUACUUGAUUUGCUCGACGAAUAUAAUUUGUUGCAUAAUAAAUUUAGUAUUUUUUAAACUUUAAAUAGUUUAAACUUAUUUUUUUAUAAUUCACUAAAUUAAUAUAUUUCAUCAAUCUUAUAUACUUUAAUAUGAAUUACAUUACGAUUAGUUACAAAUUGAAAUUUAUUAGUAUUUUGAGUGAAGUAUAUAUUCGAAUGAAGACAUUUAAAAAUAUUUGAAUACUUAAAAUAGUAUGAAAUGUUAAAUGUAUGCACCUAUACUAUAAACACCAUUUGUUUCAUUCAUGAUUUAAGUUAUAUAGAUGACAAUAUUAGAUGGUUAUAAGCUGCUAAAAGAUAAUUUAUUGUAUAUAAUCGGAAUAUACGUAUCGAAGUUUAAAUAUAGAUAUGUCUUAAAUUUCCGUUAUCCUACUAGUAUAAUUUUCCUACCAUAGAUUCCUAUUAAACUAAAAGGAAGUAAUUUAAAUUAACCCAAAAAGAUAAAAUAAAUUUUCUAAUACUUCCUAUCUUAAGAGAUUCAAAAUGGUAUAAUUGUUACUGUACGUUGUUUGGUCCAAUUGGCAGAACAACUUCAAAAUUACUUGCUAUAGCAAUUUAUUGUUUUAGUCUUUAUGUUAUGUUAUAGAUAGAGUUAUUGAAAUUUUAGAGUGGUCCAUUCCUUUGCUCAAUUUUAUGUUUUUUUGUGUGUGAAAAAUCACUGUUUUCAAAUUCCAAGAGGUGACCUAUAUUUGUAAUUUCAAUAAUUAUUUUAAUAAACUGCAUUUAUUUUAACGUCUAUUUCUUGCCACAAAUUAGUGGCAGCAUAUAUCAUCACUACUUUAAGAUGUUUUAACGUCCAUUUAUUGCCAUUUUAAAUUUUGGUUUUCCAAAUUUGGAAGUGACAUUUUAAAAAGGAUAUUCUUGCUCUCUAUUUUAUUAGUAUGAAAAAAAUUCAAUAUGAGCUGUUUUCAGAUUAAGAGAAACAAAAAAUUUAUAAACACGUGAUAAAACAACAAUGUUUGACGCAACUUUAAAUGAUAACAAAUAUUUAAAUCAUUAAACUUUCAAAGUACCAAUUAAAUAAAUAAUUACUUAAAUGAUUAAAUAUGUUUUUAGUCCUUAUACUUUGGGACGAUUUUGGUUUUAGUCCCUCUCUCAAACUUAUGUACAAUUUAGUCGUUAAACUUUAGAAAACUCUGGUUUUAGUCAUUUUUAUCAAAAUUUUUUAACUUUAUUUACUGUUUCAACCGUAAAAAUAUUUGAAAGUUAAAAAAAUUUGAUAAAAAGGACUAAAACCAGAGUUUUCUAAAGUUGAAGGACUAAAUUGUACCUUAGUUUGAAAAAGGGAUUAAAACCAAAAUCGCCCCAAAAUAUAGGGACUAAAAACAUAUUUAACCUUUACUUAAAAACUAGGGUUGGACUUAUCCUAUUAAAUAAUGCUUGAUUUUGGUAAGAUUGCAAUAUCAAAUUCCAUCUAAAUUAAAUAUAAAUAUCACAGUUUGGUUUAAAUGUAAUAUUAAAUAUGAAAUGGAACAAUUUCAUAUUUUACACUUCGAUAUAAGUCAUCGUAAUUUUAAAACCUUCUUAAUUUCAUUUAUUUGUAUUUUAAUUUAUAUUUAUCGACCAAGUAAUUUAUAACGAAAUAUAAAUUUUAAUCAUUUGUUGAAUCUUUUACAGUAUCAUACAUGCGAAAUAUCCAUCAAUUUUAACUAUUAUUAAUUGUCAUAAAAAUCUUGUUUAUAUCCGUGAUUUAUAAAGCUCAACGUCCAUAUGUUAUAUAAGAAAUGCAACUCUAAUUUCGUUCAAACUAAUAACAUGCAGAUAUAUAGUUACUUUAGUGUUUCUCAUUUCAUAAAAAUGAAAUUAACAUAAAUAUACAAAUUAAAACUCACAAAGUAUAUAUAAAAAUCAUUUUUUAAAACAUUAAAUUAUAAAAUUUGACCACUUUAUUACUCAAAUAUUAGUGUGGAAAAUGUAUAUAAUAUCAGUUUUUUAGUAUAUUAGAUCGGGUUUUAAAUCGAUAUUGUGUUAGACAAUUUAAUAAGUGAAUUAUAUAUUAUAUUGGUAUUUAGAAUUCAUGUAACAUCUUUUUAUAUAACAUGUAGAUAUAGUUAGUUUAGUGUUUCUCAUUUCUUAAAAAUGAAAUUAACAUAAAUAUACAAAUUAAAACUGACAGAGUAUAUAUAAAAAUCAUUUUUUAAAACAUUAAAUUAUAAAAUUUGACCACUUUAUUACUCAAAUAUUAGUGUAAAAAAUGUAUAUAAUAUCAAUUUUUUAGUAUAUUAGAUCGGAUUUUAAACUGGUAUUGUAUUAGACAGUUUAAUAAGUGGAUUAUUUAUUAAUAUAUUAUAUUGGUAUUUAGAAUCGAUGUAACAUCCUUUUAUAUAACAUCGGUUAAAACUUGAAUGAUUGUAAUAAACACAACUCUUUUGAAAGUAAAUUAGUGCAUAUUACAUGAGUUGUGACUAUAAUUGAUGUAAUAUGUAUUUUUUGUUUUUUAAAAUGCUAUAUUAGUUUUUAGCUCUUAAACCAUAUCGUGUAAAUAACAAAAAAAUAUCUAAAUUAUAGAGAAUUCAAUACUUGAUAUUUUGUAAUGCUCUCAUAAUAUCUUCACCUAAGAUACCGAAUCCUAUCAAAACUAAUGUUAAAGGUUAAGGUCAAAAAAAUAUUUAUACAUCCAAAUAAAAUAUUCUUAAUGACAAUAAAAACUAAUUUUUAUGCCUAAAAAAAUAUUUUGCUUAUUGCAUGCGAAUUUUUUCAAGUCUUACGUUUUUAGUGAUUCGACACCCUCACAAACACAUAAUAGUGAAUACAUAUAAUUAUGUUAUAAUAUAGUAUACAUGAAACUUAAACAUCAAUAUUUAAAGAAAUUCAUACAUCUUUCCAUAAAUCAAUAAUCUUAGCACGAGUUGUAGUCAAAAUCCAAUGCAUGAUAUAUAUCAAGACUCAAAGCUUCCAAGUUCCUUAUUGCACUAAUAUAUGAAAUGUUAUGUAAUUAAUAUAUGAAGAACUAAGAAAAUUUAGUUGAUAAAUGUAAAUUGCAUACCAUAGGAUUAAUCCAUUCAAGAUGAGAUGAAAAUACAAUAGAUUUACCAUCUAAGACAUUAGUGACAUUAAUAGCACUAAAAAGAAAAGUCAUUAAUAAUUUAUAACAUAAUAUGAUAAAACACAUUACUUUUAUAAUUAACACAUACUUUUGUAUUAACAAGUGGGAUGAAGGAGCAAGAAGUGAUAACAACAACUCGAACAACGACAAUGUAGCUAUCCCAAACCCCAAAAUAGAUAUUCAAUACAAUGAUGCGAUGACAUAGAGGAUAAAACUCUGAAACAAUGGUAGCGGAACAUAAAAAUGCUGAUGAGAAAAAGGUUUGUAAGGCCUGGGGUGAGGGACAGGAACGAUGUUCGAAAACUCUUUUCACUUGAACAAUACUCGAAUGAUGACUUUGAGGAUGAACAACAAUUUGUUAAUGAGAGAGGGUGAAUGUCAAAGUAGAGGAAGACAAUUAUGUGAGGAGGGAUGAAAACAAAAAUAAAAUUAGAGGAAGAAAAGAAAGUGGAAGACCAAUAGUGCCCUAGUUUGAAUAAAAAGAUUGUAUUACAUUAGUUACCCAUUAUAACCGAUGUAGUGUUGACAUUUUUAAAAAUAUAAAUAUUGUAUUACAUUAGUCACAUGAAUAAUGGGGGUUAUAUGUAAUCAAAUAUUCACAAAAAUUCCAAUACACCAAAUAUUACAUCGUUUUUUUAUAAAUCGUUGUUAUAUACUGUAUUAUAUCUAUAUAUUGCACUAGUGAAGGUAUUCUUAAAUUAAUUAAAAAAAUUGAGUUUACAUUAAGUAUAAUAUUCUUAUAAAGAAAUGUUAUAUGUCAAUUAUAUUACAAAUUUAUUAAAUCAAAACUAAUUAUGUUAUUGUGCACAAUAGUAUAUACAACUUUAUUUCAAAAUGUAAAAAAUAAGAGAAGAAAACAUUAACAAUGUAAAUUAAUGAUGGGAUAAAAAUCAUUGUCAUAAAAAAAGAUGUAGUGGUAAAUUUGUAAACAAAACAAAAAAUUUUAACGACAAUUAUGUCAGAACCAUUAUUAAAAGUCAAAAAUAAAAAGAAAUAACAAUGGUUUUCUAUACUAUCAUUGCUAAAAGUAUUUAAAAACAAUGACAAUAAGGUAGAAAACCGUCAUUAAAAAUACAUAAAGUAAAAAACAACAAUAAUUGAUCAUAAAAUUGUCGUUCUAUGUUGUUUUAUGUUUUCUUUCUCUCUUAUGCGUCACUUAUCUCCUUUUACAUAAAUUCUCACAAACUCAUAUUGUCAUUCUUUGACUCUCUUUAUUGUUGUUCCAUACUAAUGAAGACGCUAACGAAGACUUCACAAACUCCCCUAUUCGUAUCUUAUUGUAUCUAUUCACUUGCAUUCGUGAUUGUGUUUCUAGAUCUCCUUGACAUCAUCCUCAUUGAUUCUUGAGGUCUCCUCCUUAUGCCUUAACUAGAAGUUGUUGUCUCCACUUUCAUCCUAAUUAUGUUUUCAUCAUCUUUUUGUUUUUUUAAUUUUUUUGUUUAUAACUAUGAUUUAAAUUAAAUUAUCAUUAUAAAUAUUUCACAUAAUAAUAAUAAUAAUAGUUGUAAUCGUUGUGGAUUACUUCCAAUUUAGAACAACAAUUUUAUUGACCAUGAAUAGUCAAUCGUUGUUAAUUUUUUUUAACAAUUCAAUAUAUUGUUUGCACUAAUAAAAAUAUCAUAUUAUACCAAUUUCAUUUAUUAUUAUUAUUAUCAUCAUACAUAAUAUAUAUAUAUAGAGAGAGAUAGAUAGAUAGAUAGAUAUGUGGUAUAAUUGAUAUUUAGUUGCUUUUUUCAAAUUUAUGCAGUAUAUAUUCAAUGCCGUCUAAAUUUGAAUAAUGUUUGAAAUUUCAACAUAAAAAACCAAUAAGAACAAAGCAAAUAAUAGAUUAAAAAAGUUGUACAAAAAAUAAUGAAACAAAAGGUCUAUUGAUGUGUCAUAUAGUUAAAGUUGUAUUAACUUUAAUUAUAUUUACCAUUAUUUUGCUAAGUCUGAGUUGGUGUGCCUAGAAGGAAACAACAAAUGUGGGAGAGUGUUCUGAAACCUCUUCAAUCUUUGUUUUUAUCAAAGUUAUUAUUUAGCAUUGAUAGUGUCAUAUAUAAUGUUUCCAUUUCUGAGUAAUGUCGUGUUAUGUACACAAACAUUGCUUAAAAGCGUUAUAACCAACAUCCCCAACUUAUACGCUUCUUUUACAAAUUAUAUUAACAAGACGAAACACCUCACAAUAUUGCCUUUAUUUACAUUAUUAAUUUAUUCAUGCAAAAUAAAUAAUUAUAUAUUUUUUGUUUCUUUACUUUGAAAGAUAAUACACAGCUUUUUAAUCAUACAACCAAUAUUCCCUUUUCUAUCAAAAUUAUUUGUGAUAUCACGUUCAUUCUUAUCUAUCUUAUAAUAUAUCACAUGCAUUAGUAAUUAUCAUUUAAAACGUUUAAGAAUUAUUAGAGAAAUAUUACAAUUUUGGUGGUUUUUUAUUGGUGAGAAUUGAGUACAUAUGAAAAAAUAUACAGUGGUGUACUCAUUAUUCAACUGAGCCGAACCUCUUGACAUAAUUGUAUCUAUUUUGUUAAUCAUUACACCUUGGUCAAUCAUUACACAAUUAAAGUGUAAAUUUUGCAUUUAGUGCAAUAUUUAAUGUCAUAUUUACGCCGCAACUCCUAUUUUCUAAUUUUUUUUAAGUAUUGUUUUGAGAUUAUAUAUAUAACAAAAUAUUUCCCUUUUUUAAGUUUAUUAUUGUUAAAAUUUUCUUCUUGAAAUAUUGUUUGGUCUCUUAUUAUUCUAUCAUCAUAAAAUAACACACAAGAACAUCAAAUAAGAUAAGUUAAUAUUUUAAAAUAUCAUAUUCACUAAUAUAUAUGAAAUUCAUGUACAUAUAAUACUAUUUCUGGUUACAUAACUGAAACAAUAUAUUUACUCAUAUGAUAAGGUGAAAUCUUAUUAUCCAUUAACUACUUUUUUAUUUUAAAUUGUAUAGUAAACUAUUAGAAUCUUCUUCAACUUUUGUUUUCUAAUAUUUCCUCCAUAUAAAUUCAAUAUAAACAAAACUCGAUAUUUUCUUUAAAAUUUCCAAUUUAUUCUAUAAUUUAAAUAUUUCAACAUAAUAUUUUCUUCACAGAAUAACUAUACUUGUAAUACACACAUGCACAAUUAAAACAUAUUUUAUUCACACACGUUUAAAUUUAUUUUAAAUACUAAUAAAUGAAAAAAAUAUUUUAUAUAUUAUCAAGAGAUAUAUUAACUAUUGUACCUAUUAGAGACGUGAGUUAAAUCCACAUGUUAAAAUGAUGUCUUUUUAAUAUCAGAAUAAUUGAUACUAUAGUACAUCCAAAGGCAGUUUAGGAAGAAGGGAAAAAAAUCACUUUCAAAAAGUAUUAUAAUAAUAAUAAUAAUUGUAUAGUACUUGUUAUUCGUAUCCGUUUUUCAUGCUAAAUUAUUGUUUCAAUUAAGUUGUGUCCCACAAGUAAACAAUUCGUUUUUUUGUUUAUUUUCUUCUGCUAAAAGAUUACAUUGAAAAUUAAAUUUAUUAUAAUUAUUUAAUGAAGUAGUUUAUACUAAUAUAAUCAUAUUAGUAUGCAUAAAAAAGUGCCAUGACAAAUCCAUUUGCGGAAAAUUACACCUGUAUUUCCUAUUAAAAUAUUACUCCAAACAAGAAUUAGAUUUUAGUUGACAAUUAAAGCACAGAAAACAAAUUAUUAAUAGGUAAUUAAGCCGCCCAUUAAUAUAAUUAGCAGGGCACCAACUUAACAUCGUGGGCCAUAAAAAUACGAACAUCCCGAUAAUACCCCUGCAUUUGCGCAUGAAAACAACAGUUUGAGAAGGGUAAAAUGGGAAUAUAAUCCAAUCGUAAUUGCGUGGAGGGAAAGUCAAUUGUUAACGGUAUCUAUCCACCGACCACCGACCUACCUUCUGCCCACUCAGAAUUAUUAAUUAAAAAAAUAUAAAAUUAUCGGAUAAUAACGAAAAUGAAACAAAAUAUUAUAUAUGACUCAAAAUAAAUAUUUUCUUUUUCUUACUAAAUAUGUUUGAAAUUCCCUCAUUUCAUUAACCCGCAAACGACACAAUCAACCAUUAUCACCAUCAUACACCUGAUAAUACCAUCAACCCCAUAAUAAAAUUUAAUUCUAGAGUCCCCUGACAGAAAUAGAUUUUAAAUACAAUCAUCUAUGUUUAAAAAAUACUUUUUUUUUCAUAGAUUUAAUAUGAAAAUUUAAAUAUAUUAUCGUAAAACUAUAUUUUAAUUUUAAAUAUAUUACCAGCAUUGGAAUGUUCAUAAUAGUAUUGUUAGAAUCUCCAAGUGUAUUAAUAUUGUGGUUAUUAUUAUCUCUUUAAAAUUCAAAAAGCAUAUUUUAGUAAAUUAAAAAAAAAAAGAAAUAAUUUUGUAGUUAACUUUUGGAAACACCAAUUACCAUUAUUAUGUUAGAUUGCUUUAAAUGUGGGUUGAAGUCCACCACCGCUUAUCCAAAGAGAGACUAUUAUUGUACCACUAACACACACCUAGUUAUGGUCGAAUAGAAUCAUGUCUUUCCCCAACAACACUUUUUUUUUUUUUCACAAUAAAGAAAAGAUAUAAUUUAAACAAAGGAAAAAAAAUAUAUGUUACAUGUGUCAAAAUAUCAUAUAACUUUUUCAGUGUAGUGAUUAAAGUUUAUUGAAAAUUUAUUUUAACUUUUACUUUUUACUUUAAGAUUAAACGUAUGUAUAUCGAAGAAAGGUGCUCUCAUAAAUAUGAUUUUCUUUUCUGUAUUUCAUUUAUAUUAUACCUUUUUCUUAUUUGUAUGUUUUCUUCAUAUUAAAUUUAUCACUUUUCUUGUUUUUCUAUUUCUUUCAUCUUAUGCGCAAAUUUAUCCUAAUAUAAAAUUGGGUGUACACAUUUUAUAUAAAUAAAAUCAUUAGUUGUAAAUAUCAUGAAACAUUAUUAUCAAAUUCAAAACUUUUCGCCGCUUAAUUUUCUUUUUUUUGGUAUAAUAUGUAAAGAUGAAGAUUUCUAAUAAAUGAUAAAUCAUAUAUAUAAUUGUUCAAUUAAAAAUUAUUAUUUGAAGAGUUAAUUGUUUUUGUAAGAGAUUGUAAAAUUAUAUAAAGAAUUUGUUUGGGAUCGAGGAAAAGGGAAAAAAAGAAGUGUAUUGAGAGAGGGAUUUUGUCGGUGAAUUAAUAAUAAAAAUGGAAAUAGGGAAAAGGAAAGAUGAGUUAAUAAUGAAAAAAAUGGUAAUUAAAAAGGGUGGAAUUAAAGAGAAAAGAAAAGAGAAGAGAAGAGGGUUGAUAUAGCAACGUGGAGGCUUACAGAGAUGACAAGCUUGGUGCUUCAACCUCUCUCCCUUAUAACCCUUUCGUCUCGCAUACUCCUUAGAUUUUCAUUCCUCAUGGACCAGAUUCCCUCUCUCUCUCUCUGAUCUCAUUUUCAACAACACCAACCCGAGAACACAAAGCAACGCAAGAGAACAGAGAGAGAUGGACCCUCAAGGAGGAGAGAGAGAACCCACAAGGAAGCGAAGCGGCGUGGCGGUGGCGGUCGAGGGAGAGAGAAGAUACAAAGGAAUAAGGAUGAGGAAGUGGGGCAAGUGGGUCGCGGAAAUUAGGGAACCCAACAAGCGUUCCAGGAUUUGGCUCGGUUCCUAUUCCACCCCUGUCGCCGCCGCACGUGCUUACGACACAGCCGUCUUUUACCUCAGGGGACCCUCCGCGCGGCUCAACUUCCCCGACCUUCUUGUUGGAGAGGGCGCUGCCCUUGUAGCCGGUUGCGACAUGUCAGCUGCCUCUAUUAGGAAGAAGGCCACCGAGGUCGGUGCCAGAGUUGAUGCUCUCCAAGCAUCGCUGCACCACCACCACGUGGCGCCGCCGCCGCCGGAGCUUCUCUCGCGCGGCGACGGAGGUGGGUCAGGGGAUUUCGCGGUUGACCUGAACAAGAUGCCCGAACCCGAGAGUGAGGACUGCGAAUGGGAUGUGAAUUGAAGGAAAAAAAAAAGAAAGAAAGGUGCGCGCUUUCGGGUUCGGUGGCGUUGCUAACGUGCGGCGGGGCGGGGAGGGUUUGCGACGGCUGAGGCAAAGUGAUGUUGAUGAGGCCUCGGGUGGUGUGGAUUACUGUACUGUAUCUUUUUUUUUUCCUUCUACUUUCUUUCGGGUAGCUUUUUUUUUUCUUAGAUUUUACAGAAGAAAUUUUGGCGUUGUAAAAAUUGUUAAAUGUAAAUUAACUAGUCCAGUAGAAUGUUUUGUGUUUGUGUUUUUGGUUUAAAUUUGUUAGGUUAAUUUGUUGUUGAAAAAAAGGUAUUGUUUUUGGGGCGUGUGGAAAGGAAUUCGGCGGAAAUUAGAAAAAAAUGGAAUGAAAGUGGAGGUGGGAUACUAUAAGUGGAGUGGGAUGUUUUAGAAAAAAAGAAUAGAAUGAUGCAGAGGAAGUGAAAUAGGUGGAGAGAGAGGGGACAGGGAUGGCCUGCAGUGCCCAGCAGUUGGGUACAAAAGGAGGGAGUGAGCCAUGCUAACCACUAAAGUAAUAAUAACUACUAAAAAGUGAUAAGAUUGAGUUAGGUAUUUUUCUGGUUCUACACUGUUUCCUGAUUAUUGAGUUGUGAAAGGAGGAAUGGAAUGGGCCACUGCCAAAGGAAAACGUUGUGGCCACUGCUCUGUUUUGACAACGAUGGAUGAUGGGGUCGGUUAAUCGGUUUUGUCGUCUAAGAUUUUUUAUUUUUUUCUCCUAAUUCUAGUCAAAUCUUGGACAACAAUUGUAUCGAAAAAACAUAUAUAUAAACUAGAAACAAAGCAGAAAAUAAGAGAAAGACAUGUCUCCAUGUGAAUGCAAAAUUACAGCUCCUCUCCAUUGAUUAACAAAUAUCUUUGUGGAGGAUUUCUGAUUUGAGUCUGAGCUGUACCCCAUAUUUGAUUCGCUAGGAUCUAUGGGGCCUUUAAGUUGUAGCCGAAGAUGAGUCCAUGAUUAGCGGAGAAUUAGAGGCCUUUCUUUUACCUUAUUUAAGGAUUUUAUAGCUGUGGUACUGUGGAUUACAUCGUGCUUGACGCAAGUGAUCAAUUAAUUAAUUUUUAAGAUAAAGUUAAUCUCUCGUAUUAAAGAUAUAGGGUUCAUCAGUGAGGGAUGAAAAGUUUCACCAGGUUAAAGACAAAUGUAGAGAGUUGUAUGAACGAAGACCACAGUAAUGUGGCCAAAUUGACCAACGAAGUCGUCAUUUAUUUUUCACAUAUUAUUAAAACGAAGAAAUAAUGUUAUUUUAUAAAAUGGAGAAGCAAAAGACAGGUCCCAAGUUGUUAUUGUCAACUAUUCUGAUGAGCAUGACCUUUUAUUGCCAACUGUUCUGAUCAACAUCUAGUCAUGAGUUUUAUUACAGUGACGGACCAAGACCAGUCAUGGCUUCAGCUCAACUACUAACAGACGUGGUAAGUAUGGCGG
RNAcentral lists this long non-coding RNA (55187 nucleotides) under Vigna radiata. RNAcentral describes it as "long non-coding RNA (VRAD_LNC010871)". Lineage: Eukaryota; Viridiplantae; Streptophyta; Magnoliopsida; Fabales; Fabaceae. The record is from RNAcentral.